ACCAAUCUUGCCGCACGGACUCAUUCUUGCAUGAUGGACACUUUGUGUGCGCUAACCAUUGUAUUUCCGAGUGUUGCUUGUGUUUGCUCUUUUUGCAUGUCUAUCACUCCGGCGACACCUUGGACUACUUGGAUUGCGCCAUGUCUUCAACUUCUUCCAACUACAAGUCCAUCUACGCCAACCGUUUCCAUGGUGAUGAGGAUCACGAUCCGAGGUCGGAUCUUUCCCAAGGGAGGGGAGAUGAUGCGGAGCAUCCCACGUUCAUCCCCAUGUACACUCCGACCACUCUCCAAACCCCAAGAGGACAUAUGACGAGACCUCGAACAUACACCAUUGGACACAAGGUGAACUCGCUCCUCUUCGAACCAUCACUUUACAUAUGUGAGACAUGGCUACUACCUCAAAUAUAUGUCUAUGCAUGACUAGGAACAAAGAGGAAGAACAUGGACAAGAUGGCGAGGACACCAAGUACAAGAACUACCGAAGAAGCUCCAGCGAGCGGACGUCCGGCCUACAGCGAAAAAGACCGGCCCCUGAAGACCCGAGCCGAAUCUGCGGAAGACCGGAGCCAACGGACGACCGGCGACCGGACGACCGGAAAUCAUCGGACGUCCGGUGCCCCUGGACCCGAGCCAAAUCAACGGAAGUUCGAAGAACCCCGAACGUCCGGACGCCCAUGAGCCACCGGACGACCGCCCCCCAGCGGACGUCCGGUACCUGUCUGUGCACAGUGUUCGGGCCUGAGGCCCAUGUACCCCUUCACUUCGCCCCCAUUUGCACUAAGACUAUAAAUAGACCUCUCCCUCCUAGUUAGGGUUAGCAAAGGAUUAGCUCAAGUUUGUGUGAGAGCUUUGCUCAUCCACUUGGUUACCUUCUCCUCGGAGCUCAGGACCUCUUCGGAGAAGAUCCCCCAAGCGGAUUCAAGACCCCUUCAAGGGAAGACCAUCAAGACCUCCUCACGGAGAAGAACCCGGUUACCUCUUGUAUCGUCCUUUGUUGAUCGUGGAUCGUGUAUCUCUCUUUGUGUUCAUCGAUCUAGCGCAUGUGUAAUCGAAUCUUGUUGGUUUGAGUGAUUCUCUUGUGUUUUCCCCGUUAUUUUCCUCGUGUUCUUCCGCUCGUUCUUCGUGUUCCUCGUAGGGAUUCUCUCCAAACGUGAAAGAUCGUCCACAUAGGGUUCCGCCCUACAUCACAUGUCUACCCAUCGCCGAGUACACCUACAAUCGUGUAAGACAUUCGACUAUCGGCAAGUUCCCCUUAGAAGUCGUCUACGGCUUCAACCCGUUGUCACCAUUGGACAUUCUACCUCUUUCUCUACAAGAGCGCACCAACAUGGAUGCGAGUGCACGGCAAGCUACAUCAAGAAUAUGCAUGAGGAUACAAGACAAACCAUCGAGUGACAAGUACAACGUGUAGCGACCAAGCUCAACGUCAACAAGCAACCCAUGGUCUUCAACAUUGGUGAUCUAGUGUGGCUACACCUUCGCAAGGAUCGCUUCCCCAACGAACGCAAGUCCAAGCUUCUCCCUCGAGCCGUUGGACCUUUUCAUGAGGACAUCAGUACCAUUGUUACACCCACAGCCCCUACUACAACAUAUACUAGACCAAUUACUAGAGCUCGCGCACGCCAAUUAAAUUAUCAGGUACUUUCAUUUCUUGGUAAUGAUUCUAAUGUUCAUGAGAAUAUGAUGCUGCCGAAAUUGGAUACAUUUGUUUUGAUUACAAAUGAAGGGCCUGGCAUGGAUAAGAGGGAUGAACAUUGGAGCAAGAACAAGCAUGGAGUUGAUGGCAUGCACAAGGGGAACAAGAACGGAGUUACAAGUGAUGAUUUCAGGACUUUGAAGCCACCAUAAUGAGUACAUGAAGCCUUGGACGAAAUAUACAAGAUGGCACUUCAUAAACUUCGUCCAGAGGCUAUUCUAGGUGCCGCGUCACCUUAUUAUUGGGCCAGGCCCAUGUAAUUUCGAAAUACAUAAGUAUAGGCUAUUUUUAGAGUCCGUAUGUGUGGGGAAACAAGAGAUAGGGUUAGUUACGGACCCCUCCACCAAGGGCCACGAAAUUCACCCCCUCUUCCUCCAUAUAUACAACCCUUAGGGCACCGUUUAGACUUUGGGUUUUGCUUAGAUUAAAAGUUCGCCAUAGCUGCAACUUCGCGCACUUCGUUUGUGUUCAACGACCAGACCAAGGCGUCACAGAACCCCACCUUGAUCAAUAAAGCUUUCCUCUUAUAUUCGCAAUAUCCAGAUUGCAAUCUUAGUUUCUUGCUUGUUCUUUGUUUGCCUGCAGGAAACAGACCUUCGUGGUCAGGUUGAUCGUGCUCCGACAUGGUCAAUAACCUCUCGGAGUUGGUUUAGCAAUUGCUAAGGCGCGACGUCCUCGCACGUUCAUAGUCGGAAUGUCAAAGUCGACUUCAUCCUAAACGAUAGCCACCAUCUCAUCGAAAGACGGGACACCUUUGCCUCUAUCAAGUGGUAUCAGAGCUCCUGCCACCUCCAGCCGUGAUACAAGAAAGCAGGCACAACCACCACUAUCUGCCAAGAGCGCACCUGCCGGGCCUACACAGAGCUCUUCUUCUUCCAUGGCAUCCACUGGGCACACAAGUGAUAUUAUUUGUCGUCGUUGUAAGGGAAGAGGUUAUUAUGCGAGAGAAUGCAAAUCUCUGCGUGUGAUGAUUGCUACUGAGGAUGGUGGGUAUGAGUCCGCUAGUGACUAUGAUGAGGAGACGUUGGCUCUUGUUACACGUGAAGAACACGGUGGAGAUGAUUCUGAUCAUGAGACGCAAUACAUGGCUCCUGAAGACGCUGACAGGUAUGAAUGUUUAGUUGCUCAACGUGUUUUGAGUGUGCAGGUCACACAAGCUGAGCAAAAUCAGAGGCAUAAUUUGUUCCAUACAAAGGGAGUUGUGAAGGAACAUUCCGUGCGCGUCAUCAUAGACGGAGGGAGCUGCAACAACUUGGCUAGCAUGGAGAUGGUGGAGAAGCUCUCUCUCACCACAAGACCACAUCCACAUCCUUACUACAUCCAAUGGUUCAACAACAGCGGCAAGGUUAAGGUAACACUUUACUGUUCGUGUGCAUUUUAGUAUCUCUACAUAUGCUUAUUAUGUUGAUUGUGAUGUGGUACCUAUGCAAGCAUGUUCCUUAUUACUUGGUCGACCAUGGCAAUUGAUAAAAAUUCUGUACACCAUGGUAGAAACAAUCAGUAUACUCUUGUUCAUAAGGAUAAAAAUAUUACUUUGCUUCCUAUGACUCCUGAUUCCAUUUUGAAAGAUGAUAUUAAUAGAGCUAAUAAAGCAAAACAGGAGAAAGAUAAGAGUGAAAAUCAGAUUGUGGCAAAAGAAUUUCAGCAACAAAUGAAGCCUAAUAGUAAACCAUCUAGUGUUGCUUCUGAAAUUAAAUUGAAAAGUGCAUGUUUACUUGCCACCAAAUCUGAUAUUGUUGAGCUAGAUUUUAGCAAAUCUGUUUGCUAUGCUUUUGUGUGCAAAGAGGCAUUAUUUUCAUUCGAGGACGUGCCUUCCUCUUUGCCCCCUGCUGUCACUAACAUUUUGCAGGAGUUCGCUGACGUCUUUCCACAAGACGUGCCACCGGGAUUACCACAUAUCCGAGCGAUUGAGCAUCAAAUUGACUUAAUUCCCGGUGCAUCGCUACCCAACCGUGCACCAUACCGUACCAAUCCAGAGGAGACGAAGGAGAUUAUGCGUCAAGUACAGGAGCUGCUCAACAAAGGUUAUAUACGUGAAUCUCUUAGUCCUUGUGUUGUUCCUAUUAUACUAGUGCCUCAAAAGGAUGGUACGUCGCGUAUGUGUGUUGAUUGUAGAGGCAUUAAUAAUAUUACUAUUCGUUAUCGUCAUCCUAUUACUAGGCUAGAUGAUAUGCUUGAUGAAUUGAGUGGCUCUACAAUAUUCUCCAAAGUUGAUUUGCGUAGUGGAUACCAUCAAAUUCGUAUGAAAUUGGGAGAUGAAUGGAAAACAGCAUUUAAAACUAAGUUUGGUUUAUAUGAGUGGUUAGUCAUGCCUUUUGGGUUAACUAAUGCACCUAGUACUUUCAUGAGACUAAUGAACGAAGUUUUACAUGCUUUCAUUGGACGAUUUGUGGUAGCUAUUUUGAUGAUGUACUGAUUUAUAGCAAAUCUUUGGAAGAACAUUUGGAACAUUUACGUGCUGUUUUUAUUGCUCUACAUGAUGUACGUUUGUUUGGUAACCUUGGGAAGUGCACCUUUUGCACCGACCGAGUACCUUUUCUUGGCUAUGUUGUUACUCCACAGGGAAUUGAAGUUGACAAAGCCAAGAUUGAAGCUAUUGAGAGUUGGCCGCAGCCCAAAACGGUCACGCAAGUGAGGAGUUUUCUUGGCCUCGCUGGAUUCUAUAGCCGUUUUGUGAGAGAUUUCAGCACCAUUGCUGCACCUCUCAACGAGCUUACAAAGAAGGAUGUGCCUUUUGUUUGGGGUACCACACAGGAAGAAGCCUUCAUGGUAUUGAAAGAUAAGUUGACACAUGCUCCUUUACUCCAACUUCCUGAUUUUAAUAAGACUUUUGAGCUUGAAUGUGAUGCUAGUGGAAUUGGAUUAGGAGGUGUGUUAUUACAAGAUGGCAAAUCUGUUGCAUACUUUUAUGAAAAAUUGAAUGGGCCUAGUCUGAAUUAUUCUACUUAUGAUAAAGAAUUAUAUGCUCUUGUUCGGACUUUAGAAACAUGGCAACAUUAUUUAUGGCCCAAAGAAUUUGUUAUACAUUCUGAUCAUGAAUCUUUGAAACAUAUUAAAAGUCAAGCUAAACUGAAUCGUAGACAUGCUAAAUGGGUUGAAUUCAUUGAGACUUUCCCUUAUGUCAUUAAACACAAGAAGGGUAAAGAAAAUGUUAUUGUUGAUGCAUUGUCUCGUCGCUAUACUAUGCUUUCACAACUUGACUUCAAAAUAUUUGGUUUGGAGACCAUCAAAGAUCAAUAUGUGCAUGAUGCUGAUUUUAAAGAUGUAUUGCAGAAUUGUAAAGAAGGGAGAACAUGGGACAAGUUCGUUAUUAAUGAUGGCUUUGUGUUCCGUGCUAACAAGCUAUGCAUUCUUGCUAGCUCUGUUCGUCUUUUGUUGUUGCAGGAGGAGCAUGGAGGAUUAAUGGGACACUUUAUUGUGAAGAAGACGGAGGACGUACUUGCUACACAUUUCUUUUGGCCAAAAAUGAGACGGGAUGUUGAGCGUUUUGUUGCUCGCUGCACUACAUGUCAAAAAGGUAAGUCACGACUCAAUCCUCAUGGUUUAUAUAUGCCUUUGCCUGUACCUACUGUUCCUUGGGAGGAUAUAUCUAUGGACUUUGUUUUAGGUUUACCUCGAACAAAGAAGGGGAGGGAUAGCAUAUUUGUUGUCGUGGAUAGAUUUUCAAAAAUGGCACACUUUAUACCAUGUCAUAAAAGCGAUGAUGCCGUGAAUGUUGCUGAUUUGUUCUUUCGGGAAAUUAUUCGCUUGCAUGGUGUGCCAAAUACUAUUGUUUCAGAUCGUGAUACCAAAUUCCUUAGCCACUUUUGGAGAUGUUUAUGGGCUAAGUUGGGGACUAAACUGCUUUUUAGUACUACUUGUCACCCCCAAACUGAUGGACAAAGUGAAGUAGUCAAUAGAACAUUGUCUACUAUGCUUAGGGAUGUUUUGAAGAAUAAUAAGAAAAUGUGGGAAGAAUGCUUGCCUCAUAUUGAAUUUGCUUAUAAGCGUUCAUUGCAUUCUACUACUAAGAUGUGCCCUUUUGAAAUUGUGUAUGGUUUCCUACCUCGUGCACCUAUUGAUUUGUUGCCUCUUCCAUCUUCGGAGAAGGUUAAUUUUGAUGCUAAACAACGUGCUGAAUUGAUCUUAAAAAUGCAUGAGUUAACUAAGGACAACAUUGAGCGUAUGAAUGCUAAAUAUAAACUUGCUGGAGAUAAGGGUAGAAAACAUGUUGUCUUUGCACCUGGAGAUCUUGUUUGGUUACAUUUGCAUAAGGAUAGGUUUCCUAAUUUGCGCAAAUCAGAGCUAGUGCCAUGUGCUGAUGGUCCUUUUAAGGUGUUAGAGAAAAUAAAUGAUAAUGCAUAUAAACUUCAGCUGCCUGCAGAUUUUGGGGUUAGUCCCACUUUCAACAUUGCAGAUUUGUAGCCUUAUUUGGCUGAGGAAGAUGAGCUUUCGUCGAGGACGACUUCAUUUCAAGAAGGAAGCUGAUGAGGACAUCAAUACCAUUGUUACACACACAGACCCUACUAUAACAUAUACUAGACCAAUUACUAGAGCUCGCGCACGCCAAUUAAAUUAUUAGGUACUUUCGUUUCUUGGUAAUGAUUCUAAUGUUCAUGAGAAUAUGAGGCCGCCUAAAUUGGAUACAUUUGUUUUGCUUACAAAUGAAGGGCCUGGCAUGGAUAAGAGGGAUGAACAUUGGAGCAAGAACAAGCAUGGAGUUGAUGGCAUGCGCAAGGGGAACAAGAACGGAGUUACAAGUGAUGAUUUCAGGACUUUGAAGCCACCAUAAUGAGUGCAUGAAGCCUUGGACGAAAUAUACAAGAUGCCACUUCAUAAACUUCGUCCAGAGGCUAUUCUAGGUGUUGCGUCACCUUAUUAUUGGGCCAGGCCCAUGUAAUUUCGAAAUACGUAAGUAUAGGCUAUUUUUAGAGUCCGUAUGUGUGGGGAAACAAGAGAUAGGGUUAGUUUCGGACCCCUCCACCAAGGGCCACAAAAUUCACCCCCUCUUCCUCCAUAUAUACAGCCCUUAGGGCACCGCUUAGACUUUGGGUUUUUCUUAGAUUAAAAGUUUGCCAUAGCUGCAACUUCGCGCACUUCGUUUAUGUUCAAUGACCAGAACAAGGCAUCACAGAACCCCACCUUGAUCAAUAAAGCUUUCCUCUUAUAUUCGCAAUAUCCAGAUUGCAAUCUUAGUUUCUUGCUUGUUCUUUGUUUGCCUGCAGGAAACAGACAUUCGUGGUCAGGUUGAUCGUGCUCCGGCGUGGUCAAUGACCUCUCGGAGUUGGUUUAGUGAUUGCUAAGGCGCGACGUCCUCGCACGUUCGUAGUCGGAUCGUCAAAGUUGACUUCAUCCUAAACGAUAGCCACCAUCUCAUCGAAAGACGGGACACCUUUGCCUCUAUCACCUUUCAAGGUGCUAGCACGCUACAACGACAACGCCAACAAGAUCGACCUACCACGAGACAAGUACAAUGUGAGCGACAUCUUCAAUGUUAAGGACUCACACCGUACCAUGGUGAUGAAGAUUUUGAUCCGAGGUCGGAUCUUUCACAAGGGGGGGAGAUGAUGCGGAGCAUCCUUCGGUCAUCCCCAUGGACCUUCCAUCUACUAUCCAAGCUCCAAGUGGACCCAUGACAAGAGCAAGAGCUCGUGCUAUUCAAUCCGAGGUGACAUCACUCCUAUUCGAUUUCCCCUUUCCUUCCAGUGAGACAUGGCUACUACCUAAGUCCGAGAAACUAUGCGUGAUCAGGUACAAUGUUCAAGCCAAGGAACGAGGAGCUGAAGAAGAAACCACAGGCGUCAACUCUCUAGACAGCCCGGAACUUCCAGCCUCAGCCCAGAACUUCCGGCCCCCGGAGCUUCCGGCCCGCCCGGAGCUUCCGGCCUCCGACGACAUCGACCAGCCCGGGCGUACCAAGAAUCUGCUUAGCCCAGAACCAGCCCGGAACCUGGCCUGGACCUUCCGGCCCCCGGAACUUCCGGCCCGCCCAGACCUUCCGGACCUCAGAAGCCAGCCCAGCUCCUCCCGCGCCAACACUCUGCUUAGGCCGGACCCUGCCCGGACCUUCCGUCGCCCGGAACUUCCGGCCCCGCCCGGAACUUCCGGCCCUGCCUGCGCGCAGCCACUUGGGCCGAGGCCCGUGUACCCUUUUGCCCCGAAACUAUAUAUACUCCCCCACCUCCUCCUAGUUACGGUUAGCACUGGUUUAGCACAUAUUUUGUGUGAGAGCCCUUGCUCAUCCACUUGGUUACCUUCUCCUCGGAGAUCAUGCCUCCUCGGAGAAGAUCCUUCCAAGGGAUUCAAGACCCCCUCUAGGGUGGACCCCAUCAAGACCUCCUCACGGAGAAGAACGGCUACUCGUGUAUCUUUCCUUUGUUCAUUUUGAAUCUUGUGCUACCUUUUGUGUUCUGUGAUCUAGCCCUUGUGUAAUCGAUACUUGUCGGUUUAGUGUUCCUCUUGUGUGUUUUCCCUUAUGUUCUUCCGCCCGUUCGUCGUGUUUUCCCUGUAGGAUCCCCUCCAAACGUGAAAGAUCCCCGAUUAGGGUUCCGCCCUACAUCAAUGCUUGUCAUGUAGCGGGUUGCGAGAUGCAUGACGGUCUUGAUGCGCGGCUCGUCGAAGAGUGUUCGAUGACUAUGUACUUGAGUCGUAGAAGGUGUCAUCAGAGUGUCGACUCGAGUGGCUCCGUCUUGAGGAUGAAGAAGUGGAAUGAUGUCGGUUCCUCAUCAAGGCGCGGAUCUCGUCCAUUCUUGCAUCAUUCUCUUGCCUGUGAGCGUCGAACUUGUUAUCGAAGUAGUCUCUUGUACGUUGCUCGAAGAGGUGCAAGUUGGUGGCGAGGUUGUCGAUGCGGUCGCUCAUUGCUUGUUGCUCUUGGUGCAACACUCGUUGUGCACCAAAGAGGUGGCUCUUGGUGACGUAUGAUGACAUGUCGUCGUCUUGCUCGAGGAAGAGUGGGUUGGUAGAAGUACUUGGCCUAUCCAUCAUUCCAAGCAAAAAUGUGAGUGGUAGAAGGAGAAAAACUUAUACCAAUGUAGCUUUGACCGAUGUUGAUGAUGAAUCAAGUUCACUCAAAUGCGGACAAUGAAAUAGCAUUAUUGGUACCAAUCCUUGUCAGUUCUCACACCUACACAAGUAAAAGCUUAUGGUGGAGCUUGGUUAGGAUAGUGGCACCAAAUUGAUUGCAAUCGUUAGGUUGACUCAAAGAUGUUGAAAAAGAUUCGCAAUUCGCAAAUGCAACAAGUAGACCAAGCAAGUAAGGGUACAUGGAAACACACAUGCAAAUAGAUUAGUGGGAUUGUGCAAACCAAAAGUGAGCCAAAAUGUGGAGUCCACGAAAAUGCUCUUGUUGCACAAUACUAGAGAGACGCUAGCACGAUUGCACAAUAGGCAGAUACGGAGCUUGUGCACAACCUACUAGGCAAAAAUGCAACGAUCUCUGUCCCAAGUAUGCUAUAUGUAUGGUAUUUCGGUGCUAUGAUCCAAGAUGAUCGGAUAUGACAAUCUUAAUAUAGUAUGAUGCUAUGGUUCUUGCUUAUAAGCUCUUUGCUUAUCUUUCUCUUUUGCUUAAAAGCUUGAUUGGCUCUUUGAUGCGGAGCAUCCCUCGGUCAUCCCCAUGGACCUUCCAUCGACUAUCCAAGCUCCAAGUGCACCCAUGACAAGAGCAAGAGCUCGUGCUAUUCAAUCCGAGGUGACAUCACUCCUAUUCGAGUUCCCUUUUUCUUCCAGUGAGACAUGGCUACUACCUAAGUCUGAGACGCUAUGCAUGAUCAGGUACAGCGUUCAAGCCAAGGAACCAGGAGCUGAAGAAGAAACGACAGGCGUCAACUCUCUGGACAGCCCGGAACUUCCGGUCCUCCCGGAGCUUCCGGCCUCCGACGACAUCGACCAGCCCGGGCGUGCCAACUAUCCGGUUAGCCCGGAACCUGCCCGGAACCCGGCCCGGACCUUCCGGCCCCUGGAACUUCCGGCCCACCCGGACCUUCCGGCCCCCGGAAGCCAGCCCAGUUCCACCCGUGUCAACUCUCUGCUCAAGCCAGACCCAGCCCGGACCUUCCGUCGCCCGGAACUUCCAGCCCCGCCCGAAACUUCCGGCCCUGCCUGCGCGCAACCACUUGGGCCGAGGCCCGUGUACCCUUUCGCCCCGUAAACUAUAUAUACUCCCCACCUCCUCCUAGCUAGGGUUAGCAUUGGUUUAGCUCAUAUUUUGUGUGAGAGCCCUUGCUCAUCCACUUGGUUACCUUCUCCUCGGAGAUCGCGCCUCCUCGGAGAAGAUCCUUCCAAGGGAUUCAAGACCCCCUCUAGGGUGGACCCCAUCAAGACCUCCUCACGGAGAAGAACGGCUACUCACGUAUCUUUCCUUUGUUGAUUUUGAAUCUUGUGCUACCUUAUGUGUUCGGUGAUCUAGCCCUUGUGUGAUCAAUACUUGUCGGUUUAGUGUUUCUCUUGUGUGUUUUCCUUGUGUUCUUCCGCUUGUUCGUUGUGUUCUCCUCGUAGGAUCCCCUCCAAACGUGAAAGAUCUCCGAUUAGGGUUCCGCCCUACAUCAUCUUGGUAUCAUGAGCCACGUUGAUCACGUUUUUUGAGCCCCUACCCCGUGUUUUCUAGCUUGAUUUUGUUGUUUUCGUCCUAAAUCCGAAAAUCCCCACCAAAAAUAGCCCCCAAUUUUUUUUUGUGAUUUGUUGGUGUGAUGAAGUUUUGUUGGAUUUGGUCCAUGGAUUUGCUUUGCUUCGAGUGGAUCUAGCUUCCCCUACCUUCUUCCCUUCUAAUUUCUUCUUUUUUCCCUCGGGAUUUGGGUUUUUCCCCAAUUUUUCCGCCCAAACGCUCGAUCCCGAAGUCCCUGUUCUUGGCAGAAUCGCGACCAUCGGAACUUCCGGCCCAGCCCGGAACGUCCGCCAGCCGGACCUUCCGGCCCAGCCCGGAACUUCCGGACACCAGACCUUCCGUCUUGCCCGGAACUUCCGGCCUAGACAGAAAGGUCGCGCAUCUUCGGCGACUCCCGCUUCUUCGGUAACUCCGACCACGAUGCAGCGGCAUCUUCGCCAAUGUACUGAAGACCGUGCAUCACAUCAUCGUCCACAUUCGCAUCCGUUUGGAACCUUUACCGUAAGCAAGGACGGUAAUCUCGAUGACAUCUUUGUCCAAACCUUGCCAUUGCAUUGAUAAGCAUCAUACCAUCUUUUGCGUUGCUUACCCAUCGAGACUAGCCUUUGAGUAUUGCAGGCAACGUGACUUGUGAACAUUAGUGAUCAUACUCCAUACCAUACGUACCAUACUACCGUGGUGCAUAUCUUGGGAUCCAUUUGUGUGUCACAACAUUGUCAUAGCAUACACAAUUGUUAUCUUGGUUCAUGAAUUUUGCAUGAGAAAAGAGCUCAAAAGUGAAAGAGCCACCCAAGCUUUUAAGCAAAGAGGAAAGAUAAGCAAAGAGCUUAUGAGCAAGAACCAUAGCAUCAUACUACAUUAAUAUUGUCAUAUUGGAUCACCUUGGAUCAUAGCACCGAAAUACCAUACAUAUAUCAUACUUGGGAUAGAGAUCGUUGCAUUUUUGCAUAGUAGGUUGUGCACAAGUUCCGUAUCCGCCUAUUGUGCAAUCGUGCUAGUGUCUCUCUAGUAUUGUGCAACAAGAGCAUUUUCAUGGAUUCCACAUUUUGGCUCACUUUUGGUUUGCACAAUCCCACUUAUCUAUUUGUGUGUGUGUUUCCGCGUACCCCUUCUUGCUUGGUCAACUUGUUGCAUUUGCAAACUUGUGAAUCUUUUCCAACAUUCUUGAAGCUCACUUACAAUUGCAUCAAAUUUUGUGCCACCAUCCUCACCAAGCUCCACCAUAAGCUUUUAUUUGUGUAGGUGUGAGAACCGACAAGGAUUGGUACCAAUAGUGCUAUUUCAUUGUCCGCAUUUGAGUGAACUUGAUUCAUCUUCAACUUCGGUCAAAUGUACAUUGGUAUAAGUUCUUCUCCUUCUACCACUCACAUUUUUGCUUGGAAUGAUGGAUAGGCCGAGUACUUCCAUUAACCCACUUUUCCUCGAUCAAGGCGACGACAUGUCAUCAUACGUAACCAAGAGCCACCUCUUUGGUGCACAACAAGCGUUGCACCAAGAGCAACAAACAAUGAGCGACCGCAUCGACAAUCUCGCCACCGACUUGCGACUCUCCGAGCAACGUACAAGAGACUACUUCGAUAACAAGUUCGACGCUCACAAGCAAGAGAAUGAUGCAAGAAUGGACGAGAUCCGCGCCUUGAUGAGGAACCGGCAUCAUUCCACUUCUUCAUCCUCAAGACGGAGCCGCUCGAGUCGACACUACGACGACACCUUCUACGACUCAAGUACACCGUCAUCGAACACUCUUCGACGAUCCGCGCGUCAAGACCAUCAUGCAUCUCGCAACCCACUACAUGACAAGCAUUCACAAGAGCAAGUCGAUGAGCAAGUCCCUCGUCCUCAAUCAAACCAAGCCGCUUUUGCCCAAGCUCAAGAAUGACAACGACUACGGCACCAAGAGGAAGAAUGAGCGCGUCUACACCAGGACGAACAAGACGCCGAGAAGCGCAAGCUCUUGAGGCGCAACGUGCCCUUCAAGAAUCAAGUCGAGCCAUCGCCAACCGCAAUCGCGAACGGCGCAAUCAAGAGGAAGCCCUUCGAGAAGAAAUCCAAGAGAGGAACUACCAACCAAGUGUGCAACGUCAAGUUCCUCAAGCUCCUCCACAAGCUCGUCAAGCUCCACAUCAACCUCAAGUUCAACAAGGGCAAGUUGAUCAUGGACUUCCUCCACACCAAGAGCAACAUGAAUAUGAUUGUCAUCCAUGUCAAGGGCGUCAUCAUCACCAUCGCCAACAACACAAUGAAGAGCAAUGAUAUGGAAAGCUCAAAUUCACCAUGCCCAAGUUAAAUGGAAGCAAUGACCCCGAAGAAUACCUCUCAUGGGCAUUGAAAGUCAACAAAAUCUUUCGGUUGCACAACUAUGAAGAAGAGAAGAAGAUCGCUAUGACAUCACUUGAGUUCCACGACUAUGUGCUCAUAUUGAUACGGAGCAUCCUACGGUCAUCACCAUGUCAAGAGUCCGUUUGGCAAGUGACACGUGCAACCUCUACUUCUCAUACCUAAAGGUGAAUCAUCUCCUUUACACGUGUUCACUUGCACCCUUCGAGGAUGGUAUACUACUUGACCCCUCUCUCGUGUGCAUACUUAGGUGUGAGCGGAGCUACACAUUCAUCAUGGAGGAGUCCAAGCGCAAGAGAACAACUACACCAUCCAAGACGGAAGCCUGGAAGCGAAGAAGGAAGUGCCAAGAAGAAGGAAGCAGCUCCCAGGCGACCCCGUGCGCACGGGCCCCUCCGACCCCUUGCCCACGGGCCUCCCAGGCUGGCGGUCCUGAAGACCCCGUGCGCACGGGCGUGUACCGUGCCCACGGGACCCCCGUGUCCACGGGCCUCACGGACCCCGUGCGCACGGGCCCUUGCGUCAGGUCUCUGGAUAACUCGUGCGCACGGGGCCCCCUGUGUGAUGCUGCGGGCUUUGCCCUUGUUUUACCAUUUCGCCCCCACUUAUCCCUCUCUUUGCCUAGGACUAUAUAUACUCCUUCAUCUCCUCCAUUUAGACUUAGCUAAGGAUAGAUCUAAACACUAGAGACUAGCUCAUGUAUCUCCCCUUGUGGGAUUUCUCUUGAGAGAGAGACACUCCAUUGGAGUUCAAGGCCUCCAUUGGAGAAGAUCCCUAGUGGAUAAAGACCCCCUUGAGGGAAGGGUCUAUCUAGAUCAUCAAGCCCUCAUCUCCUUCAUAGGAUUUGGGAUGAACUCUACCAUGUAUCUUAUUUCCCUUUGGUUGUUCAUGUACCUUGUGGAUCUUGUGUGUUUGAUUAUCUAGUGGAUGUGUGAUUGGACUUGUUCUUGAGUGUUCCUCUUGUUUUCCCUCUUGUGUUCAUCUUGUUCUUGGGGAUUCCCCCUCCAAUUCGUGAAAGAUCUCCCCAUAGGGUUCCACCCUACAUCAUCUUGGUAUCAUGAGCCAUGGUUGAUCACGAAAUUGGAGCCCCCUCUUUGUUUUCUAGCCUAGUUUUGUGUGAUUUCGUCCUAAUUUCGAAAAUUCCCCACCAAAAAUAGCCCCAAUUUUUUUUGUGAUUUGUUGGUUUUGGUGAUGUUUUGUUGGAUUUGAUCCAUGGAUUUGCUUGGUUUCAAGUGGAUCUAGAAUUCCCCCAUCUUUUCCCCACCAUCCAUCCCCAAAAUCUCCCCAAUUUGGCCCUAGAAAUCUUCAAUUUCCGCCCCAAAAUCGCGAAAUUUCCGUCCACCCCGUGCCCACGGACCCCAGACCCCGUGCGCACGGGCCCCCAAAAAGUCUCGGGACACCCCGUGCCCACGGACCUGUACCAUGCGCACGGGACCCCGUGCCCACGGGCUCCUACCCCCGUGCGCACGGCCCCCCCAGGUCAGCCGCGAGCACUUCACCAUUUCGGCCAUAACUUCCACAACCGGAGUCUGAUUUUCGCGUUCUUUAGCUCGUUGAGUAGCUAUUGACAUCCCCCAUCCACCUAAUAGGUACCAUCACCAUUUGACUCCAUCAAAAUUUUGACAUUUUGGCAUCUUUGCCUAGGCCUUCCACCAUAUCAUCCGCAAAACCACCAUAGUCUUCCGCAACCUAACCCGUUUCGCUCCAUAUAGCAUUUUUGGUUGUUUGAGUGGUGACUUGAGUCUCCUAAGGUGUUUAGGCUACUUAGGGACGGUUGCUUCUUCAUCAACCACCACCACCAGUUCCACCUAGGCUUACCCACCAUACACUUCCACCAUCCCAACUUAACCCAAUUUUGUUUGAGUUGUGAGUUGUGUCUCCUAAGGUGUUUCGGCUACUUAGGGACGGUGACCUCCAACUCCAACACCGUGUAUAGUCCACCACCAUAACCUCCACUUCCGCAUUGCCUAGUGCAUCACCACCACUUUCCGCUACCACCAUUUGACAUUUGUCAUUUGAGAUUUUGAGUUCGCGGUUUUUCCGUUUCCUAAGGUGUUUCGGCUACUUAGGGACGAGUCUCCAUCAUCUUGGUAUCUACAUCAAGAACACCGCCACUCAUCAUCACAAAGGACGGUAACCUCGACGACACCAUUGUAUAUUCCCCUUGCAAUUGCAUUGAUAACCCUUAGCCCAUUUUGCGUCACUUGCCUAUCGAGACUAGCCAUUUGAGUAUUGCCGGCAAUGUUACUUGUGCACAUUAGUGAUCCACCCUUCCAUUGCAUACAUACCAUAUCAUAUUGGUAUCAUCAUAUCAUCUCUUGUGUCACAAGAUUGUUCCCGCAUAUACACAAUGGCUAUCUUGGUUUGUGCAUUGUGCAAAUUGGCCAAAAAAAAGAAUAAACUUUUAAGCAAAAGAAAAGAGAGCAAAGAGCUUGUAAGCAAGUGCCAUAGCAUCAUACCACAUUGCAUAUAAGAUUGUCAUAUCCGAUCAUCUUGGAUCAAACACCGGGAACUAUACAUACAUAGCAUACUUGGGAUAGAAAGUUUAUCCAUAUUGCAUCUUAGAGGUUGUGCACAAGUGUCGUAUCCGCCUAUGGAGCAAUCGUGCUAGCGUCUCUCUUGAGUUGUGCAACACGAGCGUUUUGGUGGAUUCCACAUUUUGAGCUCACUCCUUGGUUGCACGACCCCAUUUAUCUAUCCGUGUGUGUGUUUCCAUGUGCCUCAUUUGCUAUUGGUCUACUUGUUUCACUUGCGAAUUUGUGAAUCUUUUCCAACAUUAUUGACUCUUGCUAACAUUUUGCAUCAAAUUUUCGUGCCACUAUCCUCACCAAGCUACUCCAUAAGCUUUACUUGAUAGGUGUGAGUGAACAAGUCCGGUACCAAUUCCACUAUUCUUUCAUCUCACAUUGAGUGAAACGAGAUACAUCCUCAACUUUGGGAAAAGGUAACUUGGUAUUGUUUAUCUCAUUUCCUACUCACCUCUACUUGAGUCUUGUGAUGGAUAGGCAAGGCAUUUCACCCUCGGUCUACAACAACAACGACGAGUACGAUGCCACAAACAAUUCCAACGACGCCAAGAUGGACAAGAAAUGGGAGGAGCUCAAGGCCCUCAUCAAGAAACGCAAGCGGUCUUCCUCAUCUUCGAGAAGACGCUCAAGUGCAAAGACUUCCAUGCUACCAUCUCCGGCAAGUACACACAAGCAUCGACAUCGACAAGACCAUGAAGAGCGACCUACUGGACGAGAGUUGGCUUCUCUGCCACCCCCGUGCACACGGGCCCUCAACCCCCGUGCACAUGGGACCCCGUGCACACGGCCUCCAGCACCCCCGUGCGCACGGACUACACAGAGCCACGACAUCAACCUCAAGACUACGGCUUCUUCAACACCGAUGGCAUCUUCAACAAGUGACUACAAGGCAUCUUCGCCUUCGGACGUACGACAUCUUCGCCUACUCCAUGAGCUCAAGUCCACUACUCCCUCGAGCUACUACGACCUCGACACUGACUACAAGAUUCCUUUCUAUGGGACUCAAGAACCCGAGGAGUACCUCGAGUGGGAGCGUUUGAUGGACGACUACCUCAAGCUACAUCAAGUCCCUUCCGAAGAUCAAGUGAAGUGCGCCACAAGAAACUUCCACGACUACGCCUCGGCAUGGUGGCUUCACACACCUUCAGAGAGCUAUGAGAUGAGUUGGCCCAAGACGAAGAGAGCUUUGCGGCGAGAGUUCGUGCCUCCAACUUACACGGAACAACUUCGACGCCAAUUGGAGAACACCAUCCAAGGAUCCAAGUCCAUCGAUGCGUACUUCAAGGAGAUGAAGAUUGCCUUGCGACGAGCCGCCGUGGACGACCCCAUUUCGAUGAAGUUCCACUUCAUGAUGGGAUUGAACAACGACAUCUCCAACACUAUCUUCCUCGAGAACUACAAGUCCAUCAACGACUACUACAUUGGUGCUCUCAAGGCGGAACAAGAACACAAGAAGGCCAAGACUUCUCCACCCCAAGCAAACUCCGUGGGGACCAAGCUCUACGACAAGCAUGAGGCUAGCACCACCAAGAUGUCCAAGCCCGACGAGCUCCAAGACGAUGCUUCCAAGUUCGACUUCACCUCCAUCCCUCUUUGUGGCAUUGAUGAUGCCGAGUCCUCCACGACUCUUUUUCAAGAUGGUGCGGCGACGAGUUCGACUACGGAGACCUUCAAGAACCAAGCUUUGGAGGCGAGCGACAAGGUGGCGAGCAAGGAUGAUGCUUCCAUCUUAGGAGGCGAGAGUGAUGUUGUGCCAUCUUCGGCAUUCAUCCACGACGAGAGUGAUGUUGAGCCAUCUUCGGCCUUCAUCCACGACGAGAGUGAUGUUGAGCCAUCUUCGGCCUUCAUCCACGACGAGAGUGGUGAUGUGCCAUCUUCGUCCUUCAUCCACGGCGACCACGACGAGAUGGUUGAGCAUGGGAUUUUCCCUUCGACCACGGUGACGUAUGAUGACUUGAGUGACUUGUGCCACCAUAUUGAGAGUGAGAAUGACUUCACCACUAGGCCCAUAUAUGAUGUGUUGCCACAAAUCCCAUGUGAGGAGAGCCACAACCCCCACCACUUGAGUGAGAUGAGUGACUCCACCAUAUGCGACAUUGAGUUCACCUACCUUGAGGGAGUGAGUGAGCCACCACCACACAGAGAGAGUGAGGUAGUUGAUGAGGCAUAUGAGGCCAUUUAGCUUUCUAACAACUUAACCUCUACCUCUAUUGUGUCUUCUCCUUUGGUGCUAGGUCCCAUAUAUGAUGACGCGCCGAUUCGCAACGACUACGUCCUCCCUUUGGACAAGACGAUGGCCAUGGUGGAAUAUGAUGCACCCCCCACAUGGUUCCAUCAAGAUGAAGAUGACCACCAUUUGGUCUUUCCCACCUCACCUACACCACUUGAGUGGAAUGAACAAGGUAACAAAGGUGAAGGUGAUGAUCUUGUCCCAACAGUGGACAUUCUUGAGAUUGAUUGCUUGCAUGAUGUUGAUCCACCUAGUACCAUGAUUCAUGCUAGUAUGAUUUCCCCAUGUGAUGAUUUGCCCAUUUAUGAUAAAUAUGAUGAUUCUCAUGUGGAGUCUAUUAGUUGUGAUGCCAUGUUACAUAGGAUUUCUUGUGACAAUUCUUUAGGUCACAUCAUGUUUGCUAAUCCGCUUGACUUGUCAUAUGAUAUGCAUGAGAUCAACCAUAUGUCUUAUUUGCAAUCUCUUCAUAGUGACUAUGCAUAUGCCAUUACAAUAAACCCAAUUUGCACAUAUGGCAUAGAUAACAAGCCCAUGGUUAUUGGCAUGUGUUUCUCUCGUGAUGAUAUUGAUAUGCUUCCUUUGCAUCAUUUAUCUCAUAUGCCAUGCCAUGACCACCUAGCUUCGGAUAUGCAUUGUUUUGGAUGUUGUCCAUUUUCUCCAUGUGAUGUUUCCGCUAUCGCUCAUGAGGAGGCCCCCAUAGUUUCCUCGUACAUUUUAGGAGAUUUUGAUCCAUCCCAUUCAUUGCAUGAUCCCCAUACUUGUGUGCACCAUAUGCUCCCCAUGAAUAAACAUGCUAUUGAUGUGCCAUAUACUUGCUUGCUCAACUUGUGUCCCCAUCGUGUCAUACAUAACAACUAUUCUUUCAUGAUGGAUGACAUAUUCAUAUACCAUGCCUCAAAUUUCUUUGAGCAUUGCUUAUCUCGUGCUAACUCACACAUGCACAUACACAUCAUGAUGGAUGAUGUGUACAUUUACCACGCGCACAAUUUCUUUGGAUUGUGUCUCUUUUGUGUAGGUACACAUGAAUACUUGUCAACCUCGCAAUCGCACGAGUUGACAAAACGAGCUCUAGAGAGCAAUGAUGACUUGGGAUCCCAUGGAUUGCCUUUCCCACCGCUCUCUUCACGUGAAGUCUUCGCGCAUUUCUUCUACAUGGCUCUCACAUGGUUAUGGGUUAUUGUCCACUACAUAUUAUAUUCCCAUCUUGCCAUGUUCACUUUGCAUGAUAUUAUCAUUCCCAUGCCUUUGCCAUGCCUUUGCAUGAUAUUGUUUCUACUACUUAUAUGUGUAUUUGCAAGCUUGGUGGAGACAUUGCUUGUUAUUGCCAUGUUCCAUUUAUGACCCAUUCCUAUGAUACUACUAUGAUCUUGCUUUGUGUUCGUGCUUGCGAUAUGUCAUGUGCAUUACCGAUGCCUAUUGUUUUCUCACAUGACAUGAUUGCCAUGAUUUACUCUAGUGUGUUGCAUCUUUGCUCCACUAGUUUGCACGGCAUGAUUGAUAUGCUUGCUUGUCUUGCAUCACCCAUGAUUCAUACUUGCUCAUUUCAUGCGGUUGAUGACAACCAUUUCCAUGCUUUGCACAUGAUUGUUAUUGCUUCUUGUCACAUAUCUCCAUAUGUUGCCUCUCUCAUGCUAGAUGAUUUGACAUGUAUUGAGUGCAACAAUGAUUCUAGUCUUGCUAAUGAGAUUGCCCCCAUAGCAUUCUCACAUAUAUUUGGAGAUUUUGACAUAUUCCUUGUGAAGCAUGAUUGCCUUACUUCUUUGCACCAUAUACCUAGUGCCAUGAAUAUUGCCAUUGUUGCAUCAUAUUAUUCAUGCACUUGUGCUUCUAAUGGUUUUGUGCAAAAGAUGAGAACCAUUAUGAUGGAUGAUGUGUUUGUCUACCAUGCGCAUACUUUCUUUGUUUUGUUUUGUGCAUGUGUAGGAUACUUGGACUUUGUGUCGACUUCCACUUCACGUGAGUUGACCAUUCGAGCUCUUGAGAGCGAGCCUCAUACAUUCUACCACGACUCACUUCUACACCAUAUUUGCUUCCACUUCGGCAUUGCGAAGAAUGCACAAGAACACGCCUUCAAGGUGACAUCCUUCUUGAGCUUGGAUAUUGUGGAUCAUACUUCAUGUGUUGCUUGCACCAUUUGCACACAUGUGCGAGAUAUUGCAUUCACCCAUGAUUGCCACAUUUCCAUGAUUCAUGACAUAUAUACCUUGUGUGUUGCAUCCAAUUCUUGGAUUACUUUCUCCUAUCACAUGUUUGGUUGCGACAAUGUCAUUCCUUCCCAUAUGCCAAGUCACAUUGAUUGCUACAUGCUUGACCUGAUUGCCUCACACGUGAUGAACAAUUGCUCUUUCUAUUGUGUUGAGUGCCACAAUAUGUUCACUACACCCUAUGCACAUUAUGCUUGGAUUGUCUUGCACUUGACCCAUGUGUUUAGACACUUCAUUUUAUUUGGUGUUGUGAAUACUUCCUAUGCCUACCAUCGACCAUUUGUCGAGCACUUUAUACAUGAUUGCUAUGAUCUUGAGGUAGAUGCUUAUUCUCUUGUCACACAUAUUUGCAUCACUACCUCACGUUUACAUGUUUGUUUCCAUGAUGACCUUGAUUUUGAUCAAUUCAUAUGCUUAAAUGCCAUGUCACAAUCCUUUGUCACACCCUAUGCUAUGCUUGAUGACGGCACUUGUUUGGUGAAUCACCUCUUGAAUGCUUGGUUUUGCACUAACGCUAACCACAUUUGUUUUUCCAAGUGUUUGUUCCAUUUGCUCCUUUUGAAGGAAUCACAAGACGGUGCGACAUUGGAGAGUGCCCAUUUCGAGCUUCAAGAUGACAAGUACUUGGUGAUCGUCCACUUCAACAUGGCGACGCUAUCUCUUUCCCAUGGUGAUUUGGUCUUUGAUCUGAGGUCGGAUCUUUCCCAAGGGGGAGGGGAUGAUGCGGAGCAUCCUACGGUCAUCACCAUGUCAAGAGUCCGUUUGGCAAGUGACACGUGCAACCUCUACUUCUCAUACAUAAAGGUGAAUCAUCUCCUUUACACGUGUUCACUUGCACCCUUCGAGGAUGGUAUACUACUUGACCCCUCUCUCGUGUGCAUACUUAGGUGUGAGCGGAGCUACACAUUCAUCAUGGAGGAGUCCAAGCGCAAGAGAACAACUACACCAUCCAAGACAGAAGCCUGGAAGCAGAGAAGGAAGCGCCAAGAAGAAGGCAGCAACUCCCAGGCGACCCCGUGCGCACGGGCCCCUCCGACCCCGUGCCCACGGGCCUCCCAGGCUGGCGGUCCUGAAGACCCCGUGCGCACGGGCGUGUACCGUGCCCACAGGACCCCCGUGUCCACGGGCCUCACAGACCCCGUGCGCACGGGCCCUUGUGUCAGGUCUCUGGAUACCCCGUGCGCACGGGCUCCACUUACCCCGUGCGCACGGGGCCCCCUGUGUGAUGCUGCGGACUUUGCCCUUGUUUUACCAUUUCGCCCCCACUUAUCCCUCUCUUUGCCUAGGACUAUAUAUAUCCCUUCAUCUCCUCCAUUUAGACUUAGCUAAGGAUAGAUCUAAACACUAGAGCCUAGCUCAUGUAUCUCCCUUUGUGGGAUUUCUCUUGAGAGAGAGACACUCCAUUGGAGUUCAAGGCCUCCAUUGGAGACGAUCCCUAGUGGAUAAAGACCCCCUUGAGGGAAGGAUCUAUCUAGAUCAUCAAGCCCUCAUCUCCUUCAUAGGAUUUGGGAUGAACUCUACCAUGUAUCUUAUUUCCCUUUGAUUGUUCAUGUACCUUGUGGAUCUUGUGUGUUUGAUUGUCUAGUGGAUGUGUGAUUGGACUUGUUCUUGAGUGUUCCUCUUGUUUUCCCUCUUGUGUUCAUCUUGUUCUUGGGGAUUCCCCCUCCAAUUCGUGAAUGAUCUCCCCAUAGGGUUCCACCCUACAUCACAUAUGGUGGGAACAAAUCCUUGAACGCCGACAAGCAAGAGGUGAACCUCCAAUCACCACUUGGGCUCAAAUGAAAGAUGUCAUGAGAGCAUGUUUUGUGCCAACCUACUACAACCGCGACCUCUUCAAGAAACUCCAACUCCUCAAGCAAGGAACAAAGAGUGUUAAAGAAUACUACAAGGAAAUGGAGAUAGCCAUGAUUCAAGCCAAUGUGAAGGAAGAUGAUGAACAAACUAUGGCACGUUUCUUGAAUGGACUCAAUCAUCCCAUCAAUAAGAUCACCGACUUCCAACCAUACUCCACCCUCAUUGAGCUCGUGCAUCAAGCUACAAAGGCGGAACGUCGAGUGCAAGAUGACUUCAAGUACACCAAGUACUCGUCCAAGACCUACGACUUCUCCAGCAACCAAGCUUCAACACCUCCUCCAACAUCUACAUCAACCAAACCUUCUACAAACAACGACGACAAGGCGAGUUACAAGAAAAAUUCGACAAGUUCAAGUCAUCCUCCUCCUACUACAAGCAACUUCAAGCCGCGUGCUUCGUCAUCUACUCCGACCAAUGAGACCGUCAAGACAAGCUCCUUCAAGUGUUUCACUUGCGGCGGCCGAGGCCACAAGUCCUAUGAAUGCACCAACAAGCGCACCAUGAUCCUCAACGACGAUGGCACAUAUGACUCAAUGAGUGAAGAGGAGAUGGAAGCUCUUGAGCAAGUGGCCAUGCACCGGCGAGUGAACGAGGAUGAAGAUGAUCAAGUCUUUUGUGAUGAGGAUUCGAGCCACUCUCUCGUUGUCUCCAAGGUCUUGACUCUUCAACAUCAACAAGAAGAAGACCAAAUGGUGUAGGGUGGAACCCUAUAGCGUCGAUCUUUCACGUUUGGAGUGGAUCCUACGGGGAAUCACGAAGAACACGCGGAAGCACAAAGGGAAAACAUGGGGAAAAUGAGAGAGAAUGACUAAACCGACAAGGAAUCAAUCACACAAGUGCUAGAUCACCACACAAAAAGAGAUACACGAAAUCCAAAGUCAACAAAGGACGAUACAAACAGUAGCCGUUCUUCUCCGUGAGGAGGACUUGAUGAUGGUCUUCUCCACAAAGGAGGUCUUGAAUCCAAGGUGGAUCUUCUCCGAAGAGGGGCCGCGGUCUCUCUCGUGGAGGAGAUCCGAUAUGGAUGAGCGAAGCUCUAUCUAACAAUGAGCUAAAUCAACGCUAACCCUAACUAGGAGGAGGUGGGGGUCUAUAUAUAGUGUUUGCCCAUGAAGGGGUAAGUGAGAGGGGAUACAUGGGCCUCUGGCCCGUAUCUGCGCGCAGGCAGGCGCCGGAUGUCCGGGCUGGGGGCCGGAUGUCCGGGUGUCCGCGGGAGGCCGGAUGUCCAGGGCGCGGGCCAGAUGUCCAGGCAGGUGUGGCCGGUCUCGGAGCUCUCUGGAUAGCGGGGUCCGGAUGUCCGGGCUGGGGGCCGGAUAUCCGGCGGCUCGGGAAGAGCCGGAUGUCCGGGCCUCUGGACGGAUGUCCGGGCUGAAGGGGUUCAGCUUCGUGUGUCUUCUGCGGUGAGCGCCGGAUUUCCGGGCUGGGGCCGGAUGUCCGUGCUUGCGGGAGGGGCCGGAUGUCCGGGGCCUGGCAGGAUGUACGGGCCCUGUAGCCUUUCUCCGGUUCCUCUCGUCGUGCUCCUUCAUCCUUGUACUUGGGGACUUGUCCAUCAUUCCGAGCAUCUCCGAGAGGGUCUCCUUGGUACCUAGGCAUGUGUAGUGUCCUUGCAUUAGGUAGCAACCAUGUCUCACAUGAAUGGAAAGGAGAAGCAUUUAGGAGCGGGUUCACCUUAGGUCCAAUGACGUAGGCUCCAGUGUACAUGGGGAUGAUCGUCGGACGCUCCGCAUCACCAAAGAUGCCACAUCUUCCACACAAAGGCCGGCAUCAAUGGAAGGUCCGUCAAGGUCAUCAUCGACGGAGGUAGUUGCAACAACUUGGCAAGUGAAGAACUAUGCUCCAAGCUUCAAUUGGUCAAGAGGAAGAACCCGCACCCCUACAAAGUCCAAUGGCAAAGUGACUUCGGCACUAUACGAGUCGAGCAUACGGUCCAAGUAUCCCUCAAAAUUGGUGCAUAUGAGGAUACUUUGUAGUCUGAUGUGGUCCCAAUGACCGUUUGCCACCUCCUUCUUGGUCGACCAUGGCAAUUCGACCGUCGUGUCUUCCACAACGGGCGUACCAAUCACUAUAGCUUCAAGAUGAAAGGGAAGGAAUAUGUGCUACGACCUAUGUCUCCUAGUCAAGUGCUAGCUGACAAAAAAGCCACCCAUCAUGGAGAGAAGAGUGAGAACGUGAUCCACCAAAAAGUGAGUGAGAGCCACAAGCCAAACUUGAGCGCCUCUUCGCCUAGAGAGAAAAACCUCAUCCUAUUUGCCACCAAAAGUGAGAUGAGAGAAGUGUGUGAGAACCCAUCAAGUGUGAUGCACUUUGUCCUUGUGUGCAAGGAUGGAGAGCCAACAACUAACACCUCUCAUGAGCUACCUUCAGUGUUUAAAUCUCUUUUGCAGGAAUUCCAAGAUGUUUUCCCCGAUGAGCUACCUCUGGGUCUACCCCCUCUUCGAGGCAUUGAGCAUCGAAUCGACCUCAUUCCCGGAGCACCACUCCCAAACAAAGGUCCAUACCGAGUCAAUCCCGAAGAAACCAAGGAGAUUCAACAUCAAGUACAACAACUCAUCGACAACGGUCAUGUACGUGAAAGCUUAAGCCCUUGCACCAUUCCCGUUAUACUUGUGCCUAAGCCUGAUGGAAGUUUCCGCUUGUGUUCCGAUUGUAGACCUAUAAAUGCUAUUACCGUUCGCUAUAGGCAUCCCAUUCCUUGCUUAGAUGAUAUGCUUGAUGAACUUAGUGGAGCCAACUUUUUCUCAAAAAUUGAUCUUAAAAGUGGCUAUUAUCAAAUCCGCAUACAAGAGGGUGAUGAAUGGAAAACUGCUUUCAAAACCAAAUUUGGCUUAUACGAGUGGUUAGUCCUGCCUAUGGGUUUGUCGGAAGCUGCCGGUACUUUUGUGCGUCUCAUGCAUUAUGUACUUCGGCCUUAUAUUGGAGUCUUUGUUGUGGUUUAGUUCGACGAUAUUCUUGUGUUUAGCAAAACCAUGAAAGAGCAUCUUGAUCAUGUUACGACUGUUUUGCAAACUCUUCGCAAGGAAAGUCUUUAUGCAAACAUGAAAAAAUGCACAUUUGGUGUUGACAAAGUGGUUUUCUUGGGUUUUGUUGUAUCCUCAAAGGGUGUCCAUGUUGAUGAAUCUAAAAUUGAAGCAAUUAAAACUUGGCCCCCAACCCACCAAUGUGCAACAAGUGCGUAGCUUUCUUGGUCUUGCGGGUUUUUAUCGUCGCUUUGUGAAAGAUUUUAGCACUAUUGCCGCUCCUUUGCAUGCCUUGAGUAAGAAGAAUACUCCUUUUGUUUGGGGAUCUUUGCAAUCCACCGCUUUUGAUGAACUCAAGUCUUUGCUUACUCAUGCUCCGAUUCUUGCUUUGCCCAAUUUUGACAAAACUUUUGAGGUUCAUUGUGAUGCAAGUGGUACCGGAAUUGGCGGAGUUUUGAUGCAAGAAAAACGAGCCAUUGCAUAUUUUAGUGAAAAACUCUCCGGUGCUCAACUUAACUAUCCCAUCUAUGACAAAGAAUUGUAUGCUUUAGUGCGUAUGCUACAUGUUUGGGAACAUUACCUUAGACCGCACGAGUUUGUCAUCCAUACCGAUCAUGAAACGCUUAAGUACUUAAAAGGUCAAACUAAGUUGAAUAAGCGUCAUGCCAAAUGGAGUGAAUUUAUUGAAUCUUUUCCCUAUGUGAUCAAGUACAUUAAGGGUAAAGAAAAUGUAGUUGCCGAUGCCCUUUCACGCAUAUGCACGCUUGUCACUACACUUGAGUUGAAUGUUAUUGGCUUUGAGGACAUAAAAGACUUGUAUGCUAACGACCCAUCUUUUGUUAUUCCUUAUGCUAAGUGUUUGACACAUACUUCUUGGGAUCAAGGAUGGUUAUCUUAUGAGAGCUAACAAACUAUGCAUUCCUGAGUCUUCUCUUCGUUUGCUCCUUUUGCAAGAGGCUCAUGGAGGCGGACUCAUGGGACACUUUGGACACGACAAGACAUUCGCUGCGCUCUCCAAGAACUACUUUUGGCCCAAGAUGUUCCACGAUGUCUCAUGCUUCACCAACCGAUGCUCUACAUGUCGCAAAGCUAAGUCUAAAGCUCAAUCUCAUGGUCUUUACAUGCCUCUUCCUAUUCCUUAUCAACCUUGGGAAGACAUUAGCAUGGAUUUUGUACUUGGUUUGCCUAGAACUCAAAAUGGAAAGGAUUCCGUGUUUGUUAUUGUGGAUAGAUUUUCUAAGAUGGCACAUUUCAUUCCUUGCAACAAGAUAGACGAUGCUUCACACAUUGCAAAUCUCUUUUGUAGGGAAAUCUUGCGACUCCAUGGCAUACCAAAGACAAUCGUCUCCGAUCGCGACGUCAAGUUCUUGAGUUACUCUUGGAAGACCCUAUGCGCCAAGCUCGGAAUCAAGCUCUUGUUCUCAUCCGCAUACCAUCCUCAAACCGACGGCCAAACGGAGGUGACGAACCGCACACUAUCCACUCUACUUCGUGUCUUGAUCAAGAAGAACAUCAAGGAGUGGGAAGCAUGUCUACCCAUCGCCGAGUACGCCUACAACCAUGCAAGACAUUCAACUACCGGCAAGUCCCCCUUCGAGGUCGUCUACGGCUUCAACCCGUUGUCCCCAUUGGACAUUCUACCUCUUCCUCUACAAGAGCGCACCAACAUGGAUGCGAGUGCACGGGCAAGCUACAUCAAGAAGAUGCAUGAGAAUAUAAGACAAACCAUCGAGCACCAAGUACAACGACUAGCGACAAAGCUCAACGUCAACAAGCAACCCAUGGUCUUAAACAUUGGUGAUCUAGUGUGGCUACACCUUCGCAAGGACCGCUUCCCCAACGAACGCAAGUCCAAGAUUCUCCCUCGAGCCGAUGGACCUUUCAAGGUGCUGGCACGCUACAACGACAACACCUACAAGAUCGGCCUACCACAAGACAAGUACAAUGUGAGUGACAUCUUCAACAUCAAGGACCUCGCACCGUACCAUGGUGAUGAGGAUUUUGAUCCGAGGUCGGAUCUUUCACAAGGGGGGGGGGAGAUGAUGCGGAGCAUCCCUCGGUCAUCCCCAUGGACCUUCCAUCGACUAUCCAAGCUCCAAGUGGACCCAUGACAAGAGCAAGAGCUCGUGCUAUUCAAUCCGAGGUGACAUCACUCCUAUUCGAGUUCCCUUUUUCUUCUAGUGAGACAUGGCUACUACCUAAGUCCGAGAUGCUAUGCAUGAUCAGGUACAACGUUCAAGCCAAGGAACCAGGAGCUGAAGAAGAAACGACAUGCGUCAACUCUCUGGACAGCCCGGAACUUCCAGCCACAGCCUGGAACUUCCGGCCCGCCCGGAGCUUCCGGCCUCCGACGACAUCGACCAGCCUGGGUGUGCCAACUAUCUGGUUAGCCCGGAACCGGCCCGGAACCCGGCCCGGACCUUCCGGCCCCCGGAACUUCCAGCCCACACGGACCUUCCGGCCCCCGGAAGCCAGCCCAGUUCCACCCGCGCCAACUCUCUGCUCAAGCCGGACCCUGCCCGGACCUUCCGUCGCCCGGACCUUCCAGCCCCACCCGGAAGUUCCGACCCUGCCUGCGCGCAGCCACUUGGGCCGAGGCCCGUGUACCCUUUCGCUCGGUAAACUAUAUAUACUCCCCCACCUCCUCCUAGCUAGGGUUAGCAUUGGUUUAGCUCAUAUUUCGUGCGAGAGCCCUUGUUCAUCCACUUGGUUACCUUCUCCUCGGAGAUCGCGCCUCCCAGGAGAAGAUCCUUCCAAGGGAUUCAUGACCCCCUCUAGGGUGGACCUCAUCAAGACCUCCUUGCGGAGAAGACCGGCUACUCAUGUAUCUUUCCUUUGUUGAUUUUGAAUCUUGUUCUACCUUAUGUGUUCGGUGAUCUAGCCCUUGUGUGAUCAAUACUUGUCGGUUUAGUGUUUCUCUUGUGUGUUUUCCUUGUGUUCUUCCGCUUGUUCGUCGUGUUCUCCUCAUAGGAUCCCCUCCAAACAUGAAAGAUCUCCGAUUAGGGUUCCGCCCUACAUCACUCUUUCUCUUUUGAGCUCUUUUCUCAUGCAAAACUUCACGAACCAAGAUAGCAAUUGUGUAUGCGAUGACAACUUUGUGACACACAAGUUGAUGCCAAGAUAUGCACCACUUUGGUAUGGUAUGUAUGCUAUGGAUUAUGAUCGCUAAUGUGCGCAAGCCACAUUGCCGGCAAUACUCAAAGGCUAGUCUCGAUGGGUAAGCAACGCAAAAGAUGGGCUAUGAUGGUUAUCAAUGCAAUUGCGAGAUAUGACAAAGGUGUCGUAGAAGUUACCGUCCUUGGCGAUCAUGAGUCCUUGACGAAGAUGAGCGGUGGUGAUGUUGAUGUCGAACCGCACCUAUAUAGCCGAAACACAAUAGGACAUGGGAACCACAACUCAAAUUCUCAAAGACCAAAAACAACAAUGUUGGUAGCGGAAAGCGGAGGUGGUAUAGCGGAUGAUGUGGUGAAAGCCCUAGGCAAAGAUGCCAACAUUCGGAAAAUUAGAUGGUGGCUAAUGAUGUUGUAGACUAUCUAGGUGGAUGGCGGAUGUCAAUAGCUUCUCAACGAGCUAAAGAACGCGAAAAUCGGACUCCGGAUGCGAAAGUUAUGGGCAAAACGGUGAAACUCGGAACGCUGAAACUGGUUGGGCGGUAGUACCGCUUGGGGGCGGUAGUACCGCUUGCCGCGCUUAAGCGGUAGUACCGCUAGGGGAGCGGUAGUACCGCUGGUGUCGGGAUUUUUCGCAGAUCGAAAUGGGGCGUGAUUUUGGGGCGGAAAAGGAUGAUUUUGGGAGCAAAAUUGGAUGGAUUUUGUGGAUGGAAAGAGGUGAAACUUGGGGAGAUGCUAGAUCCACUCGAAACCAAGCAAAUUCGCGGAUCAAAAUCAACAAAACAUCAUCAAAACUAACAAAUCACAAAAAAAUUUGGGGCUAUUUCUGGUGGGGAUUUUCGGAUUUAGGACAAAAACAACAAAAUCAAGCUAGAAAACACGGGGUAGGGGCUCCAAAAACGUGAUCAACGUGGCUCAUGAUACAAAGUUGAUGUAGGGUGGAACCCUAAUCUAAGAUCUUUCACGUUUGGAGGGGAUCCUACGGGGAAAACACUACGAACGAGUGGAAGAACACACGGGAAAACCCACGAGAGAAUCACUAAACCGACAAGUAUCGAUCACACAAGGGCUAGAUCACCGAACACAAAAGGUAGCACAAGAUUCAAAAUCAACAAAUGAAAGAUACACGAGUAGUCGUUCUUCUCCGUGAGGAGGUCUUGAUUGUCUUCCCUUGAAGGGGUCUUGAAUCCGCUUGGGGGAUCUUCUCCGAAGAGGUCCUGAGCUCCGAGGAGAAGUAACCAAGUGGAUGAGCAAGGCUCUCACACAAAAUAUGAGCUAAACCAAUGCUAAUCCUAGAAAGGACGAGGGGAUGGUCUAUUUAUAGUCUAAGCCUUCAAAGGGGUAAAAUAGGGGCGAAAAGGGUACAUGGGCCUCGGCCCGGAUUCGCUGCACACAGGCAGGGCGGUAGUACCGGCCCUCGGGCGGUAGUACCGCUUGCAGAGCUUAAGCGGUAGUACCGCUGUGAUGGGCAGUAGUACCGCUGUGGAGCCGUUCGAUCACUUGAGUUUGUUGGGUUCGGCGGUAGGGCGGUGGAUGUAGAGCGGCAGUACCGCUUGUGGUACUAAGCGGUAGUACCGCUUGUCGGGGCGGUAGUACCGCUUGUCGGGGCGGUAGUACCGCCUGCUCCAGGCUGGGAAACUUCUCCGCUUGCUCUCGACGUCCAUCUUGUACUGUAGCUUCUUCUUGGUUGGUUCCUUGGUACCUAAUCACACAAAGCAUCUUCGCUUGAGGUAGUAGCCAUGUCUCAAGUGUAGGAAGAGGGAUUUCGGAGAGGAGCAAGUUCACCUUAUUUUUAAUAGCCUUAGCUAGAGCUCGAGUCAUGGGUCCAAGUGGUAUUGAGUAAGAUGUAGGUGCGUCCAUGGGGAUGAGCGAGGGAUGCUCUGCAUCAUCUCCCCCCACUUGGGAGAGAUCCGACCUCGGAUGAAAAGCUUCAUCUCCAUGGUAUGGCGUGAGGUCCUUGACGUUGAAGAUGUCGCUCACAUUGUAUUUGUCUCGUGGUAGGUCGAUCUUGUAGGCGUUGUCGUUGUAGGGUGCUAGCACCUUGAAAGGUCCAUCGGCUCGAGGGAGAAGCUUGGACUUGCGUUCGUUGGGGAAGCGGUCCUUGCGAAGGUGUAGCCACACUAGAUCACCAAUGUUGAAGACCAUGGGUUGCUUGUUGACGUUGAGCUUGGUCGCUAGUCGUUGUACUUGGCGCUCGAUGGUGUGCCUUGUAUCUUCGUGCAUCUUCUUGAUGUAGUUAGCCCAUGCACUCGCAUCCAUGUUGGUGCGCUCUUGUAGAGGAAGAGGUAGAAUGUCCAAUGGGGACAACGGGUUGAAGCCGUAGACGACCUCGAAAGGGGACUUGCCGGUAGUCGAAUGUCUUGCUCGGUUGUAGGCGUACUCGGUGAUGGGUAGACAUGCUUCCCACUCCUUGACGUUCUUCUUGAUCAACACGCAAAUUAGAGUGGAGAGUGUCCGGUUCGUCACCUCCGUUUGGCCGUACCACAAAUCAGUAUAUCAUCAAAAUAGACUACCACAAAUCGGCCAAUGAAAGCACGUAAAACUUCGUUCAUUAAUUUCAUGAAAGUACUAGGUGCAUUAGUUAACCCAAAAGGCAUGACUGACCACUCAUAUAAUCCAAACUUAGUUUUAAAUGUUGUUUUCCAUUCAUCUCCCAAUUUCAUAUGAAUUUGAUGGUAUCCACUACGGAAAUCAACUUCGGAGAAUUUUGUAGAGCCACCCAGUUAAUCAAGCAUAUCAUCUAGCCUUGGAAUAGGAUGACGAUAACGAAUAUUAAUAUUAUUAAUACCUCUACAAUCAACACACAUAUGCAAUGUACCAUCCUUUUUUGGCACUUGUAUAAUAGGAACAACACAAGGACUAAGAGAUUCGCGUAUAUAACCUUUGUCAAGCAGCUCAUGUACUUGACGCAUAAACUUCUUCGUCUCCUCUGGAUUGGUACGGUAUGGUGCACGGUUGGGUAGUGAUGCACCGGGAAUUAAGUCAAUCUAAUCCUCAAUCCCUCGAAUAGGUGGUAAUCCCGGUGGCAUGUAUUGUGGAAAGACGUCAGCAAACUCCUGCAAAAUGUUAGUGACAGCAGGAUUGAUGCGGAGCAUCCUUCCAUCAUCCCCAUGGACUCUACACCGACACAUCAAGCCCCACGUGGACCCAUGACAAGAGCAAGAGCACGUGCUUUGGAAACCAAGGUGAAUUCCUUCAAACUAGAUUUUCAUAUGGACACGAAUGGAACAUGUUUACUACCUCACCAAAAUGUGCUAUUGAUGCGGAGCAUCCCUCACUCAUCCUCAUGGAUGCACAUACAUCUUCCUCAACACCACGUGGACCCAUGACUCGAGCCCGAGCUAAGGCUAUCGAAGAAAAGGUGAACUCGCUCCUCUCCGAACUCCCUCUUCCUACUCACGAGACAUGGCUACUACCUCAUUCGGAAACUCUAUGUGUAAUCGGGUACAUGGAGAUGAGCCAAGGGACAACUACCUGCAAGAGCCAAGACGACGAGGACCCCAAGCAUGUUGAAGAAGAAGAAGAGAAGCUUCUGAAGCUAUAGGCAUCGGACGUCCGACCAAGUCCGGACGUCCGACGACUCGCAGGCCACGGACGACCGACGCCCUCCGGACGUCCGGCAGCUGGGCACCCGAAUGGAAACUCACGGACGACCGAAGCCUCCGGACGUCCAACCGAUGCACGCCCGAACCGAAUCUACGGAUGUCCGAAGGCCACCAGACGUCCGGACCCUCGCGAACCUCCGGACGACCGGUGACUUCCGGACGUCCGACGCCUGUGUGUUGACUUUGAUUGGGCCGCAACCAUUGUACCCCUUCGCCCCCUAGACUAUAUAUACUCUUUCUUCCCCACCUUUCUAGGGUUAGCAAUAGUUUAGCUCAUGUUUGUGUGAGAGCUUUGCUCAUCCACUUGGUUACCUUCUCCUCGGAGCUCAGGACCUCUACGGACAAGAUUCCCCAACCGGAUUCAAGACCCCCUUCUAGGGUGGACCCCAUCAAGACCUCCUCACGGAGAAGAACGGCUACUCAUGUAUCUUUCCUUUGUUGAUUUUGAAUCUUGUGCUACCUUAUUUGUUCGAUGAUCUAGCCCAUGUGUGAUCGAUACUUGUCGGUUUCGUGUUCCUAUUGUGUGUUUUCCUUGUGUUCUUCCGCUCGUUCGUCGUGUUCUCCCCAUAGGAUCCCCUCCAAACGUGAAAGAUCCCCGAUUAGGGUGCCGCCCUACAUCAUCUUGGUAUCAUGAGCCACGUUGAUCACGAUUUUUGAGCCCCUACCCCGUGUUUUCUAGCUUGAUUUUGUUGUUUUCUUCCUAAUUUCGAAAAUCACCACCAAAAAUAGCCCCAAUUUUUUUUUUGUAAUUUGUUGGUGAGUUGAGAUUUUGUUGGAUUUGGUCCGUGGAUUUGAGUUGCUACGUGUGGAUCUAGCUUUUCCCGCCCUCCCCACCCUUUUCCAUCCAUCCAUCCGCUCAAUUUCGACAUCACCACCUUCUUCCACCUCACAAUCACCCAGUUCAUCCCGAGUUGACUUUCGUUCACCGGACGUCCGACCUUUCCGGACGACCGGAGCCCCUGUCCCGAUUCGACUACACGAAUUUCCGAGCCCCGUCGGACAUCCGACGACCGAACGACCGCACUUUUCGGACGUCCGUCGAACCUGACGAAACUGAAAUUCUUCAGUUUAUCCACCCCCACCACCCCACCUUCCACCACAUCUUCCAAUACCACUUACACCACCAUCCUCCCCAAUACCUCCUAUGAGUAUUAUGCCCCAUUUUGGUCCUUGAGAUUUUCAGUUGUGGUUCCUGUGUCCUAUUGUGUUUCGGCUAUCUAGGUAUGGUUCGACAUCAUCAUCACCAUGACUCAUCUUCGCAAGGGUCACAUCAUCGCCAAGGACGAUAACAUGGUCGACAUCUUUGUCAUACCUUGCAAUUGCAUUGCUACCCACAUGGCCUUACUUUUGCGUAGCUUACCCAUCGAGACUAGCCAUUGAGUAUUGUCGGCAACAUGACUUGUGCACAUUAGUGAUCAUACUCCAUAGCAUACAUACCAUACCACUGUGGUGCAUAUCUUGGGAUCCAUUUGUGUGUCACAAAGUUGUCAUAGCAUACACAAUUGCUAUCUUGGUUCGCGAAGUUUUGCAUGAGAAAAGAGCUCAAAAGUGAAAGAGCCACCCAAGCUUUAAAGCAAAGAGGAAAGAUAAGCAAAGAGCUUAUUAGCAAGAACCAUAGUAUCAUACUACAUUAAGAUUGUCAUAUUGGAUCAUCUUGGAUCAUAGCACCGAAAUACCAUACAUAUAGCAUAUGUGGGAUAGAGAUAGUUGCAUUUUUGCCUAGUAGGUUGUGCACAAUUUCCGUAUCCGCCUAUUGUGCAAUCGUGCUAGCGUCUCUCUAGUAUUGUGCAACAAGAGCAUUUUCGUGGAUUCCACAUUUUGGCUCACUUUUGGUUUGCACAAUCCCACUUAUCUAUUUGCGUGUGUGUUUCUGUGUACCACUAUUUUCUUGGUCUACUUGUUGCAUUUGCAAAUUUGUGAACCUUUUCCAACAUUAUUGACGCUCACUUCUAAUUGCAUCAAAUUUUGUACCACCAUCCUCACCAAGCUCCACCAUAAGCUUUUAUUUGUGUAGGUGUGAGAACCGACAAGGAUUGGUACCAAUAGUGCUAUUUCAUUGUCCGCAUUUGAGUUGAUGAGGACAUCAAUACCAUUGUUACACCCACAUCCCCUGCUGCUAUACAUACUGGACCAAUUACUAGAGCUCGCGCACGCCAACUAAAUUACCAGGUACUUUCGUUUCUUGGUAAUGAUUCUAAUGUUCAUGAGAAUAUGAUGCUGCCUAAAUUGGAUACAUUUGUUUUGCUUACAAAUGAAGGGCCUAGCUUGGAGAAGGAUGAACAUUGGAGCAAGAACAAGCAUGGAGAUGAUGGCAUGCGCAAGGGGAACAAGAACGGAGUUACAAGUGAUGAUUUCAGGACUUUGAAGCCACCAUAAUGAGUACAUGAAGCCUUGGACGAAAUAUACAAGAUGCCACUUUAAGGUGUUGUGUCACCUUAUUAUUGGGCCAGGCCCAUGUAAUUUCGAAAUACAUAAGUAUAGGCUGUUUUUAGAGUCCGUAUGUGUGGGGAAACAAGAGAUAGGGUUGGCUUCGGACCCCUUCCCCAAGGGCCACGAAAUCCCCCCCCCCUCUUUCUCCAUAUAUAUAGCCCUUAGGGCACCGUUUAGACUGGGGGUUUUGCUUAGAAUAAAAGUUCGCCAUAGCUGCAACUUCGCGCACUUCGUUUGUGUUCAACGACCAGACCAAGGCGUCAUAGAACCCCACCUUGAUCAAUAAAGCUUUCAUCUUAUAUUCGCAAUAUCCAGAUUGCAAUCUCAGUUUCUUGCUUGUUUUUCGUUUGCUCGCAGGAAACAGACCCUCGUGGUCAGGUUGAUCGUGCUCUGGCGUGGUCAAUAACCUCUCGGAGUUGGUUUAGCGAUUGCUAAGGCGCGACGUCCUCGCACGUUCGUAGUCGGAUCGUCAAAGUCGAUUUCCACCAAAGCGAUAUCCAUCAUCUCAUCGAAAGACGGGACACCUUUGCCUCUAUCAAGUGGUAUCAGAUUUCCAGGUUGCUCGGUGAGAUUUUAUAGUUUUUCGUAGUUUAGAUCGAGUCUGUUCUUCAUAACUAUAGUCCACAAAAAAGCCAAAACAAAUUAGGGUUAGUUCAUCCUAUCUGUACCAGUCUGAGCCUUUGCAUAGUCUUUUCAGUAUUUUGCUUUGUUGAAUUUGCGGUUGCAUCGUCGCGUCAAGUUGCUGGUCUUAGUGUCUAGUCCUUUAGAGUUUCGAGUUCUGUCACAGUUUGUCACGCCGCCGCCGCACCAUCUUCAUCGCUGUUGCCAUAUCCCACCACCGCUGCCAUAUCCCACCAACGCUGCCUUAUACCACCACCGCUGCCAUAUACCACCACCGCUGCCAUAUCCCACCAACGCUGCCAUAUACCACCGAUCCAUAUCCUACCACCAAAUAUCCACCACCAAUCCGAGUUCUUUUCGUAUUAGGUUUUUUUCCGAGAUCCAUCUAAUUUCCGUUUCGUGUUUCCUUGCCUGCGUAGGUUUCGGAAAAAAAAAUUCGGCGACCCCCGGGCAGUUUUUAGGCCAAAAUUUCGGCGACCGAAAAUAUUUUUUCCCUAUCCUAUUUUUAGGUCCCCAGGAGUGUUUUGAGACAUUCGCCAUCAUAGUGAUUUUUCGUCGCACUUUUUCGUCGUCGCUGCCCUGAUUUCCGAAAAUAAAUUGUCAAAAAAUUUUGUGCCCAUCCUGUCAGUUUGACCUGGGAAGAGUUUUGAGACACUCGCCAUUAUAGUGAUUUUUCGCAAAAAAAAGCAGCGCAAAAAAAAAGAGCAGCACAAAAAAAAGAGCGAAAAAAAAUUCCAGAGUGUGCUUUUCCCUUGUUUACGUGCAGCGCCGUGAUUUUGUUAGUGUUCUAGGCUCGCGUCUCUAGCACGGUCUAGCCUAGGACCAGCAAAGUACCAUCGUUGAGCGUUUAUUCAACUUUGCAUCUCUGAAUUGAUUAUUGCUGACCCUUUUUGCUACCAUAUUAUAAGCCUUCCCAGCUCCACAUACAUCUACGUCGUGCGUUUGACUCUCCCUGGUAAUCGCUCUAUCCAACCUUUGAGAGUUUUGACUACAACGGUUGCCGAUCACCGCCUGCUGCUGGGUAAGAACUGGUAAGAAUUUGAGAUUUGCUUGACGGGUUUGUGAUACACCACCACCUAUUCCUAGUAGUUUAUAGGAUCAUAUUCUUGUUUGUUUCUAUUUGCUGCUAACCAUGGCAGGAUCACAAGCCGAUGAGACUGAUUGGGAGAACUUGAUAAACAAACAGCUACAUGCUAAAUUUCAGCAAAUGAUGAGUGGAUAGGUGCAAGAUGUGCUAAACAGAUUUGAAGAGGCCAUGGAGAAGAUAGAUGGCAUUGAGAAGACGUUCGAAACAAAGCUUGAUAACAAAUUUAAUGAAUUGCUCGCGCGUUUUCCACAACCACCGCUGACUGCACCUAUUGCACCUCUGCAACGACAACAACAACGCCCCCUUCCGAAUCAGUAUGGACGAGCGCAGUGUGUUCCUCUUGAGGAUGGCCAAACUUCUGGUGCUGCUGUACCUGUUGUUCAUGCUUCAUUGGCUCCUACUACUGCUGCUGCUGGUACCCAGGAGGAUGAUGACUAUGCGGGCGAUUAUGAGGAUGAGGUUGAUCAAAAUCAGAACUACGUGCAGCCACCAGCACCACCACCAGCAGGUCGACCUCAGGUAUAUAAUCACAAUGGUAGGCCUGCACCACCACUUCAGGUACGAGAUCAUGACCAUCUCCCUAAACUGAAAUUGAAUAUUCCACCAUUUGAGGGUAGAUAUGUUCCUGAUAUAUAUCUUACUUGGGAGUUAGAAACUGAACAACGAUUUACAUCUUUAUAAUAUCCUAAGGAUAGACGUGUUCCUGCUGCUGUUUGUGCUUUCACUAGCUUUGCAUGUGUUUGGUGGUCUGAACAUUGUCGAUUAUAUCCUGUUCCAGCUACUUGGGCUACUUUGAAAACUGCUAUGCGUACUCGUUGGGUUCCACCAUAUUAUCAACGUGAAUUACUUCAAAAAUUGCAGCGCUUAAGAAAAGGAAAAAAUUCGGUAGAAGAAUAUUAUCAGGAAUUACAAACUGGCUUGAUUAGAUGUGGUAUUGUUGAGGAGAAUGAAGCUAUGCUUGCACGUUUUCUGGGUGGAUUAAAUACAGAGAUUCAGACCAUUCUAGACUAUAAGGAUUAUAAUAAUAUCACUCAUUUAUUCCAUCUUGCUUGUAAAGCUGAACGUGAAGUGCAGGAUCGACAGGCAUUGGCGCGCACUAACUUUUCUGCAGGUCGACCUUCAUCAUGGACACCACGUGCAUCAUCUACUUCCACAGCACCAUCACCUCCUUCAGGUGCCACCUCCAACCGUGAUACACGAAAGCAGGCACUACCACCACUAUCUGCCAAGAGCACACUUGCCGGACCUACACAGAGCUCUUCUUCUUCCAUGGCGUCAACAGGGCACACAAGUGAUAUUAUUUGUCGUCUUUGUAAGGGAAGAGGACAUUUUGCGAGAGAAUGUAAAUCUCAGUGUGUGAUGAUUGCUACUGAGGAUGGUGGGUAUGAGUCCGUUAGUGACUAUGAUGAGGAGACUUUGGCUCAUAUUACACACGAGGAACACGGUGGAGAUGAUUCUGAUCAUGAGACACAAUACAUGGCUGCUGAAGAUGCUGACAGGUAUGAAUGUUUAGUUACUCAACGUGUUUUGAGUGUGAAGGUUACACAAGCUGAGCAAAAUCAGAGGCAUAAUUUGUUCCAUACAAUUGGAGUUGUGAAGGAACGUUCUAUUCGCGUCAUCAUAGAUGGAGGGAGCUGCAACAACUUGGCUAGCACGGAGAUGGUGGAGAAGCUAUCUCUCACCACAAGACCACAUCCACAUCCUUACUACAUCCAAUGGUUCAACAACAGCGGCAAGGUUAAGGUAACACGUACUGUUCGUGUGCAUUUUAGUAUCUCUACAUAUGCUGAUUAUGUUGAUUGUGAUGUGGUACCUAUGCCAGCAUGUUCCUUAUUACUUGGUAGACCAUGGCAAUUUGAUAAAAAUUAUGUACACCAUGGUAGAAACAAUCAGUAUACUCUUGUUCAUAAGGAUAAAAAUAUUACUUUGCUUCCUAUGACUCUUGAUUCCAUUUUGAAAGAUGAUAUUAAUAGAGCUAAUAAAGCAAAACAGGAGAAAACUAAGAGUGAAAUCAGAUUGUGGCAAAAGAAUUUGAGCAACAAAUGAAGCCUAAUAUUAAACCAUCUAGUGUUGUUUCUGAAAUAAAAUUGAGAAGUGCAUGUUUACUUGCCACUAAAUCUGAUAUUGAUGAGCUAGAUUUCAGCAAUUCUGUUUGCUAUGCUUUUGUGUGCAAAGAGGCAUUAUUUUCAUUCCAGGACGUGCCUUCCUCUUUGCCUCCUGCUGUCACUAACAUUUUGCAGGAGUUCGCUGACGUCUUUCCACAAGACGUGCCACCGGGAUUACCUCCCAUUCGAGGGAUUGAGCAUCAGAUUGACUUAAUUCCCGGUGCAUCCUUACCCAACCGUGCACCAUACCGUACCAAUCCAGAGGAGACGAAGGAGAUUAUGCGUCAAGUACAGGAGCUGCUCGACAAAGGUUAUAUACGCGAAUCCCUUAGUCCUUGUGUUGUUCCUAAUAUUCUAGUGCCGAAAAAGGAUGGUACAUCACGUAUGUGUGUUGAUUGUAGAGGCAUUAAUAAUAUUACUAUUCGUUAUCGUCAUCCUAUUCCUAGGCUGGAUGAUAUGCUUGAUGAAUUGAGUGGCUCUACAAUAUUCUCCAAAGUUGAUUUGCGUAGUGGAUACCAUCAAAUUCUUAUGAAAUUGGGAGAUGAAUGGAAAACAGCAUUUAAAACUAAGUUUGGAUUAUAUGAGUGGUUAGUCAUGCCUUUUGGGUUAACUAAUGCACCUAGUACUUUCAUGAGAUUAAUGAACGAAGUUUUACGUGCUUUCAUUGGACGAUUUGUGGUAGUUUACUUUGAUGACAUAUUAAUUUAUAGCAUAUCUUUGGAGGAACAUUUGGAAGAUUUACGUGCUGUUUUAUUGCUCUACGUGAUGCACGUUUGUUUGGUAACCUUGGGAAGUGCACCUUUUGCACCGACCGAGUAUCUUUUCUUGGCUAUGUUGUUACUCCACAGGGAAUUGAAGUUGACAAAGCCAAGAUUGAAGCUAUUGAGAGUUGGCCACAGCCCAAAACUGUCACACAAGUGAGGAGUUUUCUUGGCCUCGCUGGAUUCUAUAGGCGUUUUUGAGAGAUUUCAGCACCAUUGCUGCACCUCUCAACGAGCUUACAAAGAAGGAUGUGCCUUUUGUUUGGGGUACCACAUAGGAAGAAGCCUUCACGGUAUUGAAAGAUAAGUUGACACAUGCUCCUUUACUCCAACUUCCUGAUUUUAAUAGGACUUUUGAGCUUGAAUGUGAUGCUAGUGGAAUUGGAUUAGGAAGUGUGUUAUUACAAGAUGGCAAACCUGUUGCAUACUUUUCUAAAAAAUUGAGUGGGCCUAGUCUGAAUUAUUCUACUUAUGAUAAAGAAUUAUAUGCUCUUGUUCAGACUUUAGAAACAUGGCAACAUUAUUUAUGGCCCAAAGAAUUUGUUAUACAUUCUGAUCAUGAAUCUUUGAAACAUAUUAAAAGUCAAGCUAAACUGAAUCAUAGACAUGCUAAAUGGGUUGAAUUCAUUGAGACUUUCCCUUAUGUCAGUAAACACAAGAAGGGUAAAGAAAAUGUUAUUGUUGAUGCAUUGUCUCGUCGCUAUACUAUGCUUUCACAACUUGACUUCAAAAUAUUUGGUUUGGAGACCAUAAAAGAUCAAUAUGUGCAUGAUGCUGAUUUUAAAGGUGUAUUGCAGAAUUGUAAAGAAGGAAGAACAUGGAACAAGUUCGUCGUUAAUGAUGGAUUUUUGUUCCGUGCUAACAAGCUAUGCAUUCCAGCUAGCUCCAUUCGUCGUUUGUUGUUGCAGGAGGCGCAUGGAGGAGGACUAAUGGGACACUUUGGCGUGAAGAAGACGGAGGAUGUACUUGCUACAAAUUUCUUUUGGCCAAAGAUGAGACGGGAUAUUGAGCGUUUUAUUGCUCGCUGCACUACAUGUCAAAAAGCUAAGUCACGACUCAAUCCUCAUGGUUUAUAUAUGCCUUUGCCUGUACCUAGUGUUCCUUGGGAGGAUAUAUCUAUGGACUUUGUUUUAGGUUUACCUAGAACAAAGAAGGGGAGGGAUAGCAUAUUUGUUGUCGUGGAUAGAUUCUCGAAAAUGGCACACUUUAUACGAUGUCAUAAAAGCGAUGAUGCUGUUAAUGUUGCUGAUUUGUUCUUUCGUGAAAUUAUUCGCUUGCAUGGUGUGCCAAAUACUAUUGUUUCUGAUCGUGAUACUAAAUUUCUUAGCUACUUUUGGAGAUGUUUAUGGGCUAAGUUGGGGACUAAACUGCUUUUUAGUACUACUUGUCACCCCCAAACUGAUGGACAAACUGAAGUAGUCAAUAGAACAUUGUCUACUAUGCUUAGGGCUGUUUUGAAGAAUAAUAAGAAAAUGUGGGAGGAAUGCUUGCCUCAUAUUGAAUUUGCUUAUAAUCGUUCAUUGCAUUCUACUACUAAGAUGUGCCCUUUUGAAGUUGUGUAUGGUUUCCUACCUCGUGCACCUAUUGAUUUGUUGCCUCUUCCAUCUUCGGAGAAGGUUAAUUUUGAUGCUAAACAACGUGCUGAAUUGAUUUUAAAAAUGCAUGAGUUAACUAAGGAAAACAUAGAACGUAUGAAUGCUAAAUAUAAACUUGCUGGAGAUAAGGGUAGAAAACAUGUUGUGUUUGCACCUGGAGAUCUUGUUUGGUUACAUUUGCGUAAGGAUAGAUUUCCUGAGUUGCGCAAAUCAAAGCUAAUGCCACGUGCUGAUGGUCCCUUUAAGGUGUUGGAAAAAAUAAAUGAUAAUGCAUAUAAACUUGAGCUGCCUGCAGAUUUUGGGGUUAGUCCCACUUUUAACAUUGCAGAUUUGAAGCCUUAUUUGGGUGAGGAAGAUGAACUUCCGUCGAGGACGACUUCAUUUCAAGAAGGGGAGGAUGAUGAGGACAUCAAUACCAUUGUUACACCCACAGCCCCUGCUGCUAUACAUACUGGACCAAUUACUAGAGCUCACGCACGCCAACUAAAUUACCAGGUACUUUCGUUUCUUGGUAAUGAUUCUAAUGUUCAUGAGAAUAUGAUGCUGCCUAAAUUGGAUACAUUUGUUUUGCUUACAAAUGAAGGGCCUAGCUUGGAGAAGGAUGAACAUUGGAGCAAGAACAAGCAUGGAGAUGAUGGCAUGCGCAAGGGGAACAAGAACGGAGUUACAAGUGAUGAUUUCAGGACUUUGAAGCCACCAUAAUGAGUACAUGAAGCCUUGGACGAAAUAUACAAGAUGCCACUUCAUAAACUUCGUCCAGAGGCUGUUCUAGGUGCUGUGUCACCUUAUUAUUGGGCCAGGCCCAUGUAAUUUCGAAAUACAUAAGUAUAGGCUGUUUUUAGAGUCCGUAUGUGUGGGGAAACAAGAGAUAGGGUUGGUUUCGGACCCCUUCCCCAAGGGCCACGAAAUCCCCCCCCCCUCUUUCUCCAUAUAUACAGCCCUUAGGGCACUGUUUAGACUGGGGGUUUUGCUUAGAAUAAAAGUUCGCCAUAGCUGCAACUUCGUGCACUUCGUUUGUGUUCAACGACCAGACCAAGGCGUCACAGAACCCCACCUUGAUCAAUAAAGCUUUCAUCUUAUAUUUGCAAUAUCCAGAUUGCAAUCUCAGUUUCUUGCUUGUUCUUCGUUUGCUCACAGGAAACAGACCCUCGUGGUCAGGUUGAUCGUGCUCUGGCAUGGUCAAUAUCCUCUCGGCGUUGGUUUAGCGAUUGCUAAGGCGUGACGUCCUCGCACGUUCGUAGUCGGAUCGUCAAAGUCGAUUUCCACCAAAGCGAUAUCCAUCAUCUCAUCGAAAGACGGGACACCUUUGCCUCUAUCAUGAGUGAACUUGAUUCAUCAUCAACAUCGGUCAAAGGUACAUUGGUAUAAGUUCUUCUCCUUCUACCACUCACAUAUUUUGCUUGGAAUGAUGGAUAGGCCAAGUACUUCUACCAACCCACUCUUCCUCGAGCAAGACGAUGACAUGUCUUCAUACGUCACCAAGAGCCACCUCUUUGGUGCACAAAGAGCGUUGCACCAAGAGCAACAAGCAAUGAGCGACCGCAUCGACAACCUCGCCACCGACUUACGACUCUCCGUGCAACGUACAAGAGACUACUUUGACAACAAGUUCGACGCUCACAAGCAACGGAAUGAUGCAAGAAUGGACGAGAUCCGCGCCUUGAUGAGGAACCGGCAUCAUUCCACUUCUUCAUCCUCAAGACGGAGCCGCUCGAGUCGACACUCCGACGACACCUUCUACGACUCAAGUACACCAUCAUCAAACACUCUUUGACGAGCCGCGCGUCAAGACCGUCAUGCAUCUCGCAACCCGCUACAUGACAAGCAUUCACAAGAGCAAGUCGAUGAGAAAGUCCCUCGUCCUCAAUCAAACCAAGCCGCUUUUGCCCAAGCUCAAGAACGACAACGACUACGGCGCCAAGAGGAAGGACGAGUGCGUCUACACCAAGAAGAACAAGACGCCGAGGCGCAACGUCUUCAACGACAACAACGAGAAGCGCAAGCUCUUGAGGCGCAACGUGCCCUUCAAGAAUCAAGUCGAGCCAUCGCCAACUGCAAUCGCGAACGGCGCACUCAAGAAGAAGCCCUUCGAGAAGAAAUACAAGAGAGGAACUAUCAACCGCACGUGCAACGUCAAGUUCCUCUAGCUCCUCAAGCCCCACCUCAACCUCAAGUUCAACAAGAGCAAGUUGAUCAUGGACUUCCUCCACGCCAUUAGCAACAGGAAGAUGAUUGUCAUCCACGUCAAGGGCGUCAUCAUCACCAUCGCCAACAACACAAUGAAGAGCAACGAUAUGGAAAGCUCAAAUUCACCAUGCCCAAGUUCAAUGGAAGCAAUGACCCCGAAGAAUAUCUCUCAUGGGCAUUGAAGGUCGACAAAAUCUUUCAUUUGCACAACUAUGAUGAAGAGAAGAAAAUCGCCAUGGCAUCACUUGAGUCCCAAGACUAUGUGCUCAUAUGGUGGGAACAAAUCCUUGAGAGGCGACAAGCAAGAGCUGAACCCCCAAUCAUCACUUGAGCUCAAAUGAAGGAUGUGAUGCAAGCACGUUUUGUGCCAACCUACUACAACCGCGACCUCUUCAAAAAACUCCAACUCCUCAAGCAAGGAACAAAGAGUGUCGAAGAAUACUACAAGGAAAUGGAGAUAGCCAUGAUUCGAGCCAAUGUCAAGGAAGAUGAUGAACAAACAAUUGCACGUUUCUUGAAUGGAGUCAAUCAUCCCAUCAAGAAGAUCGCCGACUUCCAACCAUACACCACCCUCAUUGAGCUCGUGCGUCAAGCUACAAAGGCGGAACGUCAAGUGCAAGAUGACUUCAAGUACGCCAAGUACUCGUCCAAGACCUACGGCUUCUCCAACAACCAAGCUUCAACACCUCCUCCAACAUCUACAUCAACCAAACCUUCUCCAAACAACGACGACAAGCCAAGUUACAAGAAAAAUUCGACAAGUUCAAGUCGUCCUCCUCCUACUACGAGCAACUUCAAGCCGCGUGCUUCGUCAUCUACUCCGACCGAUGAGACCGUCAAGACAAGCUCCUUCAAGUGUUUCACUUGCGGCGGCCGAGGCCACAAGUCCUACGAAUGCACCAACAAGCGCACCAUGAUCCUCAACGACGAUGGCACCUAUGACUCAAUGAGUGAUGAGGAGAUGGAAGCUCUUGAGCAAGUGGCCAUGCACCGGUGAGUGAACAAAGAUGAAGAUGAUCAAGUCGUUUGUGAUGAGGAUUUGAGCCCCGCUCUCGUUGUUUCCAAGGUCUUGACUCUUCAACAUCCACAAGAAGACGACCAAAGAUGCCACAUCUUCCACACAAAGGCCGGCAUCAAUGGACGGUCCGUCAAGGUCAUCAUCGAUGGAGGUAGUUGCCACAACUUGGCAAGUGAAGAACUAUGCUCCAAGCUUCAAUUAGUCAAGAGGAAGCACCCACACCCCUACAAGGUUCAAUGGCUAAGUGACUCCGGCACUAUACGAGUUGAGCAUACGGUCCAAGUCUCCUUCAAAAUUGGUGCAUAUGAGGACACUUUGGAAUGUGAUGUGGUCCCAAUGACGGUUUGCCACCUCCUUCUUGGUCGACCAUGGCAAUUCGACCGUGGUGUCUUCCACAAUGGACGUACCAAUCACUCUAGCUUCAAGAUGAAAGGGAAGGAAUACGUGCUACGACCUAUGUCUCCUAGUCAAGUGUUAGCCGACAAGCAAACCACCCAUCAUGGAGAGAAGAGUGAUAAAGUGAUCCACCACAAAGUGAGUGAGAGCCACAAGCCAAACUUGAGCGCCUCUUCGCCUAGAGAGAAAAACCUCAUCCUAUUUGCCACCAAAAGUGAGAUGAGAGAAGUGUGUGAGAACCCAUCAAGUGUGAUGCACUUUGUCCUUGUGUGCAAGGAUGGAGAGCCAACAACUAACACCUCUCAUGAGCUACCUUUUGUGUUUCAAUCUCUUCUGCAGGAAUUCCAAAAUGUUUUCCCCGAUGAGCUACCUCCGGGUCUACCUCCUCUUCGAGGCAUUAAGCAUUGAAUCGACCUCAUCCCCGGAGCGCCUCUACCAAACAAAGCUCCAUACCGGGUCAAUCCCGAAGAAACCAAGGAGAUUCAACAUCAAGUACAACAACUCAUCGACAACGGUCAUGUACGUGAAAGCUUAAGCCCUUGUGCCGUUCCCGUUAUACUUGUGCCUAAGCCCGAUGGAAGUUUCCGCUCGUGUUCCGAUUGUAGACCCAUCAAUGCUAUUACUGUUCGCUAUAGGCAUCCCAUUCCUCGCUUAGAUGAUAUGCUUGAUGAACUUACUGGAGCCAACUUUUUCUCAAAAAUUGAUCUUAAAAGUGGCUAUUAUCAAAUCCGCAUUCAAGAAGGUGAUGAAUGGAAAACUGCUUUCAAAACCAAAUUUGGUUUAUAUGAGUGGUUAGUCAUGACUAUGGGUUUAUCGGAAGCUCCCGGUACUUUUGUGCGUCUCAUGCAUUUUGUGCUUCGGCCUUAUAUUGGAGUCUUUGUUGUGGUUUACUUUGACGAUAUUCUUGUGUUUAGCAAAACCAUGAUAGAGCAUCUUGAUCAUGUUAGGGCUGUUUUGCAAACCCUUCGCAAGGAAAGUCUAUAUGCAAACAUGAAAAAUGCAUAUUUGGUGUUGACAAAGUGGUUUUCUUGGGUUUUGUUGUAUCCUCAAAGGUCAAACUAAGUUGAACAAGCGUCAUGGCAAAUGGAGUGAAUUUAUUGAAUCUUUUCCCUAUGUGAUCAAGUACAUUAAGGGUAAAGAAAAUGUAGUUGCCGAUGCACUUUCACGCAUAUGCACGCUUGUCACUAAACUUGAGUUGAAUGUUAUUGGCUUUGAGCACAUAAAAGACUGGUAUGCUAAUGAUUCAUCUUUUGCUAUUCCUCAUGCUAAGUGUUUGACGUAUACUUCUUGGGAACAAUAUACAUCAAAGAUGGUUAUGUUAUGAGAGCUCGCAAACUAUGUAUUCCCGAGUCUUCUCUUCGUUUGCUCCUUGUGCAAGAGGCUCAUGGAGGCGGACUCAUGGGACACUUUGGACGCGACAAGACAUUCGCCACGCUCUCCAAGAACUACUUUUGGCCCAACAUGUUCCGCGACGUCUCACGCUUCACCAACUGAUGCUCUACAUGUCGCAAAGCUAAGUCUAAAGCUCAAUCUCAUGGUCUUUACAUGCCUCUUCCUAUUCCUUAUCAACCUUGGGAAGACAUUAGCAUGGAUUUUGUACUUGGUUUGCCUAGAACUCAAAAUGGAAAGGAUUCCGUGUUUGUUGUUGUGGAUAGAUUUUCUAAGAUGGCACAUUUCAUUCCUUGCAACAAGAUAGACGAUGCUUCACACAUUGCAAAUCUCUUUUGUAGGGAAAUCUUGCGACUCCAUGGAGUACCAAAGACAAUCGUCUCCGGUCGUGACGUCAAGUUCUUGAGUUACUUUUGGAAGACCCUAUGCGCCAAGCUCGGAAUGAAGCUCAUGUUCUCAUCAGCAUACCAUCCUCAAACCGACGGCCAAACGGAGGUGACGAACUGCACACUCUCCAGUCUACUUCGCGUCUUGAUUAAGAAGAACAUCAAGGAGUGGGAGGCAUGUCUACCCAUCGCCGAGUACGCCUACAAUCGUGCAAGACAUUCGACUACCGGCAAGUCCCCCUUCGAGGUCGUCUACGGCUUGAACCCGUUGUCCCCAUUGGACAUUCUACCUCUUCCUCUACGGCUUCUUCUAUGGCUAGCACGCUACAACGACAACGCCUACAAGAUCGACCAACCUCGAGACAAGUACAAUGUGAGCGACAUCUUCAACAUCAAGGACCUUGCACCAUACCAUGGAGAUGAAGCUUUUGAUCCGAGGUCGGAUCUCUCUCAAGGGGGGGGGGAGAUGAUGCGGAGCAUCCCUCACUCAUCCCCAUGGUCGCACCUACAUCUUCCUCAACACCACGUGGACCCAUGACUCGAGCCCGAGCUAAGGCUAUCAAAGAAAAGGUGAACUCGCUCCUCUCCGAGCUCCCUCUUCCUACUCACGGGACAUGGAUACUACCUCAUUCGGAAACUCUAUUUGUAAUCAGGUACAUGUAGAUGAGCCAAGGGAGAACUACCUGCAAGAGCCAAGACGACGAGGACCCCAAGCAUGUUGAAGAAGAAGAAGAGAAGCUACUGAAGCUACAGGCAUCGGACGUCCGACCAAGUCCGUACGUCCUACGACUCCCAGGCCACGGACGACCGACGCCCUCCGGACGUCCGGCAGCUGGGCACCCGAAUGGAAACUCACAGACGACCGAAGCCUCCGGACAUCAGAUCAAUGCACGCCCGAACCGAAUCUACGGACGUCCGAAGGCCAUCGAACGUCCGGACACUCGCGAACCUCCGGACGACCGGUGACUUCUGGACGUCCGACGCCUGUGUGUUGACUUUUAUUGGGCCGCAGCCCUUGUACCCCUUUGCUCCCUAGACUAUAUAUACUCUUUCUUCCCCACCUUUCUAGGGUUAGCAAUAGUUUAGCUCAUGUUUGUGUGAGAGCUCUGCUCAUCCACUUGGUUACCUUCUCCUCGGAGCUCAGGACCUCUACGGAGAAGAUCCCCCAAGCGGAUUCAAGACCACCUUCUAGGGUGGACCCCAUCAAGACCUCCUCACGGAGAAGAACGGCUACUCCUGUAUCUUUCCUUUGUUGAUUUUGAAUCUUGUGCUACCUUAUGUGUUCGAUGAUCUAGCCCUUGUGUGAUCGAUACUUGUCGGUUUCGUGUUCCUCUUGUGUGUUUUCCUUGUGUUCUUCCGCUCGUUCGUCGUGUUCUCCCCGUAGGAUCCCCUCCAAACGUGAAAGAUCCCCGAUUAGGGUUCCGCCCUACAUCAGCUAUGCCUCCUUAGGUAUGAAGAGGAACAUCACCAAGACACUCAGGAGCAUCACCAAGGAGUGGGAGGACCACCCCGAGGCCACGCAACCCAAGAAGAAGGGCAACAACAGCUGCACAGGAAGCUCCAGGCGACCUCGUGCGCAUGGCCCCCCGAGACCCCGUGCCCACGGGCUACUCAGGGAGUUGGCGCUGGAGCACCCCGUGCGCAUGGGCCCAACUUACCCCGGGCGCACGGGCCUCCCAGGAUGGUCGGCUGAGAUCACUUCUUCGGCUCCUCUUCAUCUCCUUCGACCCCUAUGCUAUAUAUUCCGUACCAAGGACCAAGUUAGGGUUAGCAAAGUAUUAGAUGAGAUAUUUGUGAGCUUUGCUCCUUUCUACCUUCCCUUGUGGAAUCAAGACCCCUUAGGGAAGAAUCCUUGUGGAUUUCAAGUCCUCCUCAAGGAGUAGUGAUGCGGAGCAUCCGACGAUCAUCCCCAUGUACACUCGAGCCUACGUCAUUGGACCUAAGGUGAACCCUCUCCUAAAUGCUUCUCCUUUCCAUUCAUGUGAGACAUGGUUACUACCUAAUGCAAGGACACUACACAUGCCUAGGUACCAAGGAGACCCUCUCGGAGAUGCUCGGAAUGAUGGACAAGUCGCCAAGUACAAGGAUGAAGGAGCACGACGAGAGGAACCGGAGAAAGGCUACAGGGCCCGGACAUCCGGCCAGGCCCCGGACAUCCGGCCCCUCCCGCAAGCCCAGACAUCCGGCCCUAGCCCGGAAAUCCGGCGCUCAUCGCAGAAGACACCCGUAGCUGAACCACUUCAGCCCGGACAUCCGGCCAGAGGCCUGGACAUCCGACUCUUCCCGAGCCGCCGGAUAUCCGGCCCCCUGCCCGGACAUCCGGACCCCGCUAUCCAGAGAGCUCCGAGACCGGCCACACUGAUGCGGAGCAUCCUACGGUCAUCACCAUGUCAAGAGUCCGUUUGGCAAGUGACACGUGCGACCUCUACUUCUCAUACAUAAAGGUGAAUCUUCUCCUUUACACUUGCUCACUUGACCCCUUCGAGGAUGGUAUACUACUUGACACUUCUCCCGUGUGCAUGCAUAGGUAUUGUCGGAGCUUCACGGAUGUUGAGGAGGAGUGCAAGCGCCAAGGAACAACUACACCAUCCCCAAGGGAAGCCUAGAAGCGACGACGGAGACAACCCCCAGGACCCGGACAUCCGACCCCUGGAGCAUCUCCCACAGCAGCCGCCUAGCCGCCAAGUACCUACAGGCCCCGGACAUCCGGCCCGCAAGCCCAGACAUCCGGCGCAUCCCGACAGCUCGGACAUCCGGCCAUAAGCCUGGAAAUCCGACGCCCCUAUCCAGAGAGCACCGAGGCUGACCUCACCAGCCCGGACAUCCGGCCCAUGCCCCGGACAUCCGGCCUCCCAUGAACGCCCGAAAAUCCGGCCCCCAGCCCGGACAUCCGGCACCUGGCCGCACGCAGAGGCGGGCCAAAGGCCCAUGUAUCCCCUCCUCACUUACCCCUUCGUGGACUAGCCUAUAUAAACUCGAUCCCCUUCCUCUAGUUAGGGUUAGCAAAUAUGAUAGCUCAUUCUUAGGUGAGCUUUGCUCCUACCUCUACUCUUGAGAGAGAGAGAGACUACCACUCCCAUGGAGUUCAAGACCUCCAUGUGAGAAGAUCAUGUGGGAUAUCAUCAAGACCCCCUUGUGGGAAGAUCCAUCUAGGAUAUCAUCAGGACCUCCUCUUGGAGAUGAACCUUACCUUGUAUAUUUCCCUUUGUUGUUCAUGUAUCUUGUGAUCUUGUGUGUUUGAUUGUCUAGUGGAUGUGUGAUUGGACUUGUUCUUGAGUAUUUCUCCUUGUGAUUUCUCCCCGUUCUUCCCAGUGUUCAUCAUGUUCUUCGAGGGAUCCCACUCCAAUCGUGAAAUAUCAGCCUACACCGGGUUAACCCCGUAUCAUAUGGUAUCAUGAGCCACGUUGAUCACGUUUUUGGAGCCCCUACCCCGUGUUUUCUAGCUUGAUUUUCUUGAUUUCGUCCUAAAUCCGAAAAUCCCCACCAAAAAUAGCCCCCAAAAUUUUUGUGAUUUGUUGGUUUGAUGAUGUUUUGUUGAUUUUGAUCCAUGUAUUUGCUUGGUUUCAAGUGGAUCUAGCAUCUCCCCAAGUUUCCCCACUUUCCAUCCACAAAAUCUCCCCAAUUUUGCCCUCAAAAUCAUCAAUUUCAGCCCAAAAAUCGAGUUCCUCGAGUUCAUCCUCGGAUUUGGAGCCCGAACAUCCGGCCCGAGCCCCGGACAUCCGGCCAGCCCGUAAAUCCGGCCAAUAGCCCAGACAUCCGGCUCCUGGAGUGCAUUUUCGCACAAGUUUCUGGACAUCAGGUCCCGGAAAUCCGGCCCGACCCCCGGAUGUCCAGCCCCUGGGAUUUCUGAUUUCCCCGUUUCACCGUUUCGGCCAUAACUAAUUCAUCCGGAGUCCGAUUUUGACGUUCUUUAGCUCGUUUUGAAGCUAUUGACAUCCCCCAUCCCACAAAAAUACAAACAGCAUCAUUUGACUCCAUCAAAUUUUUGAAAAUUUGGCAAGUUUGCCUAGGCCUUCCACCAUAUCAUCUGCAUAGCCACCACCGACUUGCGCAACCUAACCCAUUUUGUUCCCCAUAGCAUUAGUGGUUGCUUGAGUAGUGAUUCGAGUCUCCUAAGGUGUUUCUGCUACUUAGGGACGAUUGCUUCUUCAUCAACUACCAACACCACUUCCGCAUAGGCGUGCCCCCAUACACUUCCGCCACCCCCAACUUAACCCAAUAGUUGUUUGAGCUUGUUUGAGUUGUGGCUUGUGUCUCCUAAGGUGUUUUGGCUACUUAGGGACGGCAACUUCAACUCCAACACGUGUAUAGCCCACCAUUCCACUUCCUCAUUGCCAAGUGCAAACCACCACCGCAUUCCCGCUACCACCAUUUUGACAUUUGUCCUCGAGAUUUUGAGCUGUGGUUUUUCUGUUUCCUAAGGUGUUUCGGCUACUUAGGGACGAGUCUCCAUCAUCUUGUUAUCUACAUCAAGAACACCACCACUCAUCAUCGCCAAGGACGGUAACCUCGACGACACCAUUGUAUAUUACCCUUGCAAUUGCAUUGAUAACCCCUUAGCCCAUUUUGCGUUACUUGCCUAUCGAGACUAGCCAUUUGAGUAUUGCCGGCAACAUGACUUGUGCACAUUAGUGAUCAUACUUCCCAUAGCAUACAUACCAUAUCAUAUUGGUAUCAUCAUAUCAUCUCUUGUGUCACAAGCUUGUUCCCGCAUAUACACAAUUGAUAUCUUGGUUUGUGCAUUGUGCAAAAGCGGCCAUAGAAAAAAAAUAAAGCUCUUAAGCAAAAGAAAGAGAGCAAAGAAGCUUGUAAGCAAGUGCCAUAGCAUCAUACCACAUUGCAUAUAAGAUUGUCAUAUCCGAUCAUCUUGGAUCAUCUUGAGAGAAACACUGGGAACCAUACAUACAUAGCAUACUUGGGAUAGAAGUUUAUCCAUUUUGCAUCUUAUAGGUUGUGCACAAGUGUCGUAUCCGCCUAUUGAGCAAUCGUGCUAGCGUCUCCCUUGAGUUGUGCAACACGAGCGUUUUCCGUGGAUUCCACAUUUUGUGCUCAUUCCUUGGUUGCACGACCCCAUUUAUCUAUCCGUGUGUGUGUUUCCGUGUGCCAUUCUUUGCUAUUGGUCCAUUUGUUUCACUUGCGAAUUUGUGAAUCUUUUUCAACAUUAUUGACUCUUGCUAACAUUUUGCAUCAAAUUUUUGUGCCACUAUCCUCACCGAGCUCCACCAUAAGCCUUAUUUGUGUAGGUGUGAGAAACCGACAAGAAUUGGUACCAAUUGUGCUAUUUCCUUGUUACACAUUGAGUGGUCAUUGAUCCAUCUUCAACAUCGGUCAAGGUACAUUUGGUAUAAGUUCUUCUAUUUCUCCCACUCAUAUUUGCUCGAGUCUUGUGAUGGAUAGGCAAGGCAUUUCACCCUCGGUCUACAACAACAACAACUAGUUCGAUGCCACGAACAACUCCAACGAUGCCAAGAUGCAAUCUCAAAUGGAGGAGAUCAAAGCACUCAUCAAGUCCUACAAGAGAUCUUCCUCAUCUUCGAGAAGACGCUCAAGUGCACAUGCUUCCGAGCUACCAUCUCCGGCAAGAUCACAUCAGCAUCGACACCAUCACCACCAAGAACGUGAAGGUCACGAGCUCAACACCAACAACCGCUCAAUGACUUCACCAUCACCCUUGGCAUCUUCGCCAAGCGACUUCAAGGCAUCUUCGCCUUUGGAUAUAUGGCAUCUUCGCCAACAAGCACCUCAAGACUACGCUCAAGAGAAGCUCCCCAAGCUCAAGUCCACGACCUCCACGAGCUACUACGACCUCGACACCGACCAUGAGAUUCCUUUCUAUGGGACUCUAGAACCCGAGGAGUAUCUCAAGUGGGAGCGUUUGAUGGACGACUACCUCAAGCUACAUCAAGUUCCUCCCGAAGAUCAAGUGAAGUGCGCCACAAGAAACUUCCACGACUACGCCUCAACAUGGUGGCUUCACACACCUUCGGAAAGCUACGACAUGAGUUGGCCCAAGACGAAGAAAGCUUUGCGGCGAGAGUUUGUCCUCCAACCUACUCGGAACAACUUCUACGCCAAUUGGAGAACACCAUCCAAGGAUCCAAGUCCAUCGACAAGUACUUCAAGGAGAUGAAGAAAGCCUUGCGACGUGCCGGCGUGGAUGACCCCAUGUCAAUGAAGUUCCACUUCAUGAUGGGAUUGAACAAUGACAUCUCCAAGACUAUCUUCCUCGAGAACUACAAGUCCCUCGACGACAACUACAUUGGUGCUCUCAAGGCGGAACAAGAACUAAUGAAGGCCAAGGCUUCUCCACCCCAAGCACACUUCUCGAAGACCAAACUCAAAGACGACGAGCAUGAGGCUAGUACCACCAAGAUGUCCAAGCCCGAUGAGCUCCAAGACGAUGCUCCCAAGUUCGACUUAACCGCCAUCCCUCUUUGUGGCAUUGAUGAUGUCGAGUCCUCCAUGACUCUUUUUCAAGAUGGUGCGGCAACGAGUACGACUACGGAGACCAUCAAGGACCAUGCUUUGGAGGCGAGCAACUUGGUGACGAGCAAGGAUGAUGCUUCCAUCUUAGGAGGCGAGAGCGAUGAUGUGCCAUCUCCGGCCUUCAUCCAUGGUAACAACAACGAGAUGGUUGAGCAUGGGAUUUUCCCUUCGACCAUGGCGACGUAUGAUGACUUGAGUGACUUGUGCCACCAUAUUGAGAGUGAGAGUGACUUCACCACUAGCCACAUAUGUGAUGUGUUGCCCCAAUUCCCAUGUGAGGAGAGCCACAACACCCACCACUUGAUUGAGAUGAGUGACUCCACCAUAUGUGACUUUGAGUGCACCUACCUUGAGGGAGUGAGUGAACCACCACAUAGAGAGAGUGAGGCCACUUCGAUUUCUAACGACUUAACAUCUACCUCUAUUGUGUCUUCUCAUUUGGUGCUAGGUCCCAUAUAUGAUGAUGCGCCGAUUCGCGACGACUACGUCCUUCCUUUGGACAAGAUGAUGGCCAUGGUGGAAUACGAUGCACCCCCCACAUGGUUCCAUCAAGAUGAAGAUGACCACCACUUGGUCUUUGCCACCUCACCUACACAACUUGAGUGGAAUGAACAAGGUAACAUAGGUGAAGGUGAUGCUCUUGUCCCACUAGUGGACAUUCUUGACAUUGAUUGCUUGCAUGAUGUUGAUCAACCUAUUUCCAUGCUUCAUGCUAGUGCGACUCCCUCAUGUCUUGACUUGCCAAUUUAUGAUGAAUAUGAUGAUGAGCAUGUUGAGUUGCCUAGUUGUGAUGCCAUGUUACAUAGGAUUUCUUGUGAAAAUUCUUUAGGUCACAUCAUGUUUGACAACCCGCUUGACUUGUCAUAUGCUAUGCAUGAGAUCAAUCAUAUGUCAUAUUUGCAAUCUCUUCAUAGUGACUAUGCAUAUGCCAUUAAAAUAAACCCAAUUUGCACUUAUGGCAUGGAUGACAAGCCCAUGGUUAUUGGCAUUUGUUUUUCUUGUGAUGAUAUUGAUAUGCUUCCUUUGCAUCAUUUAUCUCAUAUGCCAUGCCAUGACUACCUAGCUUCGGAUAUGCAUUGUUUUGGAUGUUGUCCAUUUUCUCCAUAUGAUGUUUCCAAUAUUGCUCAUGAGGAGACCCCCAUAGUUUCCUCAUACAUUUUAGGAGAUUUUGAUUCAUCCUAUCCAUUGCAUGAUCCCAAUACUUGUGUGCACAAUAUGCUUCCCAUGAAUAAACAUGCUAUUGAUGUGCCAUAUACUUGCAUUCUCAAUUUGUGUCCCCAUCGUGUCAUAUACAAUAACUAUUCUUUCAUGAUGGAUGACAUGUUCUUGUACCAUGCAUCAAAUUUCUUUGAGUGAUGCUUAUCUUGUGCUAACACUCACUUGCACAUACACAUCAUGAUGGAUGAUGUGUACAUUUACCACACACACAAUUUCUUUCGUUUAUGUCUCUGUUGUGUAGGUACCCAUGAAUACUUGUCAACUUCGCAAUCCCACGAGUUAACAAAACGAGCUAUAGAGAGCAAUGAUGACUUGGGAUCCCAUGGAUUGCCUUUCCCACCGCUCACUUCGCGCAAACACUUCGCGCAUUUCUUUUACAUGGCCCUCACAUGGUUAUGGGUUGUUGUCCAUUAUAUAUCCUUUGCCCAUCUUGCCAUGUUCACUUUGCAUGAUAUGCCCAUUCCUAUGCCUUUGCCAUGCAUUUGUGACCCAUGCUUUGCAUUACACAUGAUGAUUGAUUCUAGUACUUGUAUGUGUAUUCACAAGCGUGGUGGAGAUAUUGUUUGUUAUUGCCAUGAUUGCUUUGUGCCCCAUGCCUAUGAUGACACUAUGAUCUUGAUUUGUGUUCGUGCUUGCGAUAUGUCAUGUACAUUGCCUAUGUCUAUUCUUUGCUCACAUGACAUGAUUGCCAUGAUUCCCUCUAGUGUGUUGCAUCUUUGCUCCACUAGUUUGCACGACUUGAUUACUAUGAUUGCUUGCCUUGUUGCAUCACCGAUGAUUCAUACUUGCUCACUUCAUGCGGUUGAUGACAACCAUUUCCAUGCUUUGCACAUGAUUGUUAUUGCUCCUUGUCAUUUAUCUCCAUGUGUUGCCUCUCUCAUCCUAGAUGAUUUGACAUGUAUUGAGUGCAACAAUGCCCUUAGUCUUGAUAAUGAGUUUGCCCCCAUAGCAUUCUCACAUAUAAUUGGAGAUUUUGACAUAUUCCUUGUGAAGCAUGCUUGUCUUACCUCUUUGCAACAUAUACCCCGUGCCAUGAAUAUAGCCAUUGUUGCAUCAUAUUAUUCAUGCACUUGUGCUUCUAAUGGUUAUGUGCAAAAGAAGAGAACCAUCAUGAUGGAUGAUGUGUUUAUCAACCAUGCGCAUACGUUCUUUGUUUUGUUGUGUGCAUGUGUAGGAUACUUGAACUUUGUGUCGACUUCCAUGUCACGUGAGUUGACCAUUCGAGCUCUUGAGAGCAAACCACCUUCUACCACGACGAUUCUACAUCGCACUUGUUUGUGCUUCGGCAUUGGGAAGGAUGCACAAGGACACGCCUUCAAGGUGACAUCUUUCUUGAGGAUGGAUAUUGCGGAUCAUACUACUUGUGUUGCUUGCACGAUGAGACUUAUUGUUCAUCUUGGAUCACUUGAUUGCACACUUGUUAGAGAUUUUGCUUCAACUUGUCAUUUCACCGUUCCAUGCAUCAUGAUAUAUAUGCCUUGUGUGUUGCAUCCAAUUCUUGGAUUACUUGCUCCUCUCACAUGUCUGGUUGCAACAAUGUCAUUACAUCACAUAUGCCAUGUCCCAUUGAUUGCUACAUGCUUGACUUGAUUGCCUCACACAUGAUGAACAAUUGCUCUUUCUAUUGUGUUGAGUGCCACACUAUAUUCACUACACCCUAUGCACAUUAUGCUUGGAUUGUCUUGCACUUGACCCAUGUGUUUAGACAUCUCAUCUUAUUUGGUGUUGUGAAUGAUUCCUAUGCCUACCAUCGACCAUUUGUCGAGCGCUUUAUGCAUGCUUGCUAUGACCUUGAGGUGGAUGCUUAUGCUCUUGUCACACAUAUUUGCAUCUCUACCUCACAUUUGCAUACUUGUCCCCAUGAUAUCUUUGCUUCUGCUCAAUUGAUAUGCUUACAUCCCAUGUCGCAAUCCUUUGUCACACCCGAUGCUAUGCUUGAUGACGACACUUGUUUGGUGAACCACCUCUUGAAUGCUUGGUUUUGCACUAACGCUAACCACAUUUGUUUUUCCAAGUGUUUGUUGUUCUGGCUUCUUUUGAAGGAAUCACUAGACGGUGCGACAUUGGAGAGUGCCCAUUUCGAGUUUCAAGAUGAUGAGUGCUGUGUGACCGACCACUUCGACAUAGCACCGCCAUCUCUUUCCCAUGGUGAUUUGGUUUUCGAUCCGAGGUCGGAUCUUUUCCAAGGGGGAGGGGAUGAUGCGGAGCAUCCUACGGUCAUCACCAUGUCAAGAGUCCGUUUGGCAAGUGACACGUCCGACCUCUACUUCUCAUACAUGAAUCUUCUCCUUUACACGUGCUCACUUGACCCCUUCGAGGAUGGUAUACUACUUGACACUUCUCCUGUGUGCAUGCAUAGGUAUUGUCGGAGCUUCACGGAUGUUGAGGAGGAGUGCAAGCGCCAAGGAACAACUACACCAUCCGCAAGGGAAGCCUGGAAGUGACGACGAAAGAAGACGGAGACAACCCCCAGGACCCGGACAUCCGGCCAGGACCCCGGACAUCCGGCCCCUGGAGCAUCACCCACAGCAGCCGCGCAGCCGCCAAGUACCUACAGGCCCCGGACAUCCGGCCUGCAAGCCCGGACAUCCGGCGCCUCCCGACAGCCCGGACAUCCGGCCAUAAGCCCAGAAAUCCGACACCCCUAUCUAGAGAGCACCGAGGCCGACCUCACCAGCCCGGACAUCCGGCCCAUGCCCCGGACAUCCGGCCUCCCACGAACGCCCGGACAUCCGGCCCCCAGCUCGGACAUCCGGCGCCUGCCUGCGCGCAGAGGCGGGCCAAAGGCCCAUGUAUCCCCUCCUCACUUACCACUUCGUGGACUAGCCUAUAUAUUCUCCAUCCCCUUCCUCUAGUUAGGGUUAGCAAAUAUGAUAGCUCAUUCUUAGGUGAGCUUUGUUCCGACCUCUACUCUUGAGAGAGAGAGACUACCACUCCCAUGGAGUUCAAGACCUCCAUGUGAGAAGAUCCUGCGGGAUAUCAUCAAGACCCCCUUGUGGGAAGAUCCAUCUAGGAUAUCAUCAAGACCUCCUCUUGAAGAUGAACCUUACCUUGUAUCUUUCCCUUUGUUGUUCAUGUAUCUUGUGAUCUUGUGUGUUUGAUUGUCUAGUGGAUGUGUGAUUGGACUUGUUCUCGAGUGUUUCCCCUUGUGAUUUCUCCCCAUUCUUCCCCGUGUUCAUCGUGUUCUUCGAGGGAUCCCACUCCAAUCGUGAAAGAUCGGCCUACACCGGGUUAACCCCGUAUCACACACCAACCAGCCCGGACAUCCGGCCCGCGCCCCGGACAUCCGGCCUCCCACGAGCGCCCGGACAUCCGGCCCCCAGCCCGGACAUCCAGCGCCUGUCUGCGCACAGUGAACGGGCCAAGGGCCCAUGUAUCCCCCCUCUCACUUACCCCUUCGUGGGCUAACACUAUAUAUAGACCCCCACCUCCUCCUAGUUAGGGUUAGCAAAGGAUUAGCUCAUAUUUUGUGUGAGAGCCUUGCUCAUCCACUUGGUUACUUCUCCUCGGAGCUCAGGACCUCUACGGAGAAGAUCCCCCAAGCGGAUUCAAGACCUCUUCAAGGGAAGACCAUCAAGACCUCCUCACGGAGACGAACCCGGUUACCUCUUGUAUCUUCCUUUGUUGACUUUGGAUUGUGUAUCUUACCUUUGUGUUCAUCGAUCUAGCGCAUGUGUGAUCUAUUCUUGUUGGUUGAGUGAUUUCUCUCGUGUUCCCCUCGUAUUCCCCUCGUGUUUCCCCUCGUGUUCAUCACGUUCUUCGUAGGGAUCCGCUCCUUUCAUGAAAGAUCGGCCAUCUAGGGUUCCACCCUACAUCAUCUUGGUAUCAUGAGCCACGUUGAUCAUGAUUUCGGAGCCUCCCCGUUGUGUUUUCUAGCCUAGUUUUGUUGAUUUUGUCCCAAUUUCGAAAAUCCCCACCAAAAAUAGCCCCAAAUUUUUUUGUGAUUUGUUGGUGUGAUGAUGUUUUGUUGAUUUUGAUCCAUGGAUUUGCUUGGUUUCGAGUGGAUCUAGCACUUCCCCAAGUUUCCCCACUUUCCAUCCACGAAAUCUCUCCAAUUUUGACCUUGAAAUCUUCCAUUUCCGCCCCAAAAUCGAGUUCCUCGAGUUUAUCCUCGGAUUUGGAGCCCGGACAUCCGGCCCGACCCCCGGACAUCCGGCCAUCCCGGAAAUCCGGCCAUUAGCCCGGACAUCCAGCUCCUGGAGCGCAUUUUCGCGCAAGUUUCUGGACAUCAGGCCCGGAAAUCCGGCCCGACCCCCGGAUGUCCGGCCCCUGUAGAUUUCAGCCUCCCCGUUUCACCGUUUCGGUCAUAGCUAAUUCAUCCGGAGUCCGUUUUUGACGUUCUUUAGCUCGUUUUGAAGCUAUUGACAUCCCCCAUCGCACAAAAAUACCACCAACAUCAUUUGACUCCAUAAAAUUUUGUGAAUUUUGGCAUCUUUGCCUAGGCCCUCCACCAUAUCAUCUGCAUAGCCACCACCGACUUCCGCAAUCUAACCCAUUUUGUUCCCCAUAGCAUUUGAGGUUGUUUGAGUAGUGACUUGAGUCUCCUAGGGUGUUUCGUCUACUUAGGGAUGGUUGCUUGUUCAUCAACCACAACCACCACUUCCACAUAACCUUGCCCACCAUACACUUCCGACACCCCAAAUAACCCAAUUGUUGUUUGAGCUUUUUCGAGUUGUGGCUUGUGUCUCCUAAGGUGUUUAGGCUACUUAGGGACGGCAACUUCAACUUUGACACGUGUAUAGCCCGUCAUUCCACUUCCGCAUUGCCAAGUGCAAACCACCACCGCAUUCCCGCUACCACCAUUUUGACAUUUGACGUUUGAGAUUUUGAGUUCGCGGUUUUUCCAUUUCCUAAGGUGUUUCGGCUACUUAGGGACGAGUCUCCAUCAUCUUGGUAUCUACAUCAAGAACACCGCCCCUCAUCAUCAUCAAAGGACGGUAACCUCGACAACACCAUUGUAUAUUCCCCUUGCAAUUGCAUUGUUAACCCCUAGCCCAUUUUGCGUUACUUGACUAUCGAGACUAGCCAUUUGAGUAUUGCCGGCAACGUUACUUGUGCACAUUAGUGGUCUACACCUUCCAUUGCAUACAUACCAUAUCAUAUUGGUAUCAUAUCAUCCCUUGUGUCACAAGAUUGUUCCCGCAUAUACACAAUUGCUAUCUUGGUUUGUGCAUUUCGCAAAGUGGCCAUACAAAAAAAAGAAUAAGCUUUUAAGAAAAAGAGAAAGAGCAAAGAAGCUUGUAAGCAAGUGCCAUAGCAUCAUACCACAUUGCAUAUAAGAUUGUCAUAUCCGAUCAUCUUGAGAAACACAGGGAACCAUACAUACAUAGCAUACUUGGGAUAGAAAGUUUAUCCAUUUUGCAUCUUAUUGGUUGUGCACAAGCCGCCUAUUGAGCAAUCGUUCUAGCGUCUCUCUUGAGUUGUGCAACACGAGCGUUUUGGUGGAUUCCACAUUUUGGGAUCAUUCCUUGGUUGCACGACCCCAUUUAUCUAUCCUUGUGUGCGUUUCCGUGUGCCAUUCAUUGCUAUUGGUCUACUUGUUUCGCAUGCAAAUUUGUGAAUCUCUUUCAACAUUAUUGACUCUUGCUAACAUUUUACAUCAAAUUUUUGUGCCACUAUCCUCACCGAGCUCCACCAUAAGCUUUACUUGUGUAGGUGUGAGAAACCGACAAGAAUUGGUACCAAUUGUGCUAUUUCCUUGUUACACAUUGAGUGAUCAUUGAUCCAUUUUCAACAUCGGUCAAGGUACAUUUGGUCUAGUUCUUCUCUUUCUCCCACUCAUAUUUGCUCGAGUUUUGUGAUGGGUAGGCAAGGCAUGUCAUCUCCGGUCUUUGACAACAACGACGGCGUGAACAACUACAUCACCUAAGCGUCCAUCUUCGAUCUACAACGACAAGUGCAAGGCGCACAAUCAAGAUUGCGAGAGCGCAUCGAGAACCUCUUCAUCGACAUUCAUCUCUCCGAAGCAAGGAGAAGGGACUACUUCGACAAGAAGCUUGCCGCACAUAAAGAGGAGCAAGAUGCAAUGAUGGAGGAGAUUUGAACCUUUCUCUAGUCUACUUCCCCUUCAUCAUCGUCAAGACGACGAUGUUCAAACCACAAGUCUUCGGAGCGCCCAAGCGAUGCAAGCGCAAGUCGUCCACAUCUCCAUGGCGACCACCAUCACGUUCGUGAUCCACAUCGUCAUGAAGGGCAAGUCACCUCCAAGCAUCAUGUGCACGACGACGACGAACGACAUCUACUACGAUCUCAAGUGCGACAACGACACCAUCAUCAUGAAGAUGCUCAACAAGCGCAAAGGCACAAGUCCCAACAAGCCCUACUUCACACCAAGUCCAAGCUUCAAGAGCACAAAAGAAGACCGCGAGACGACCACCACCAAGACGGCGCUACGGCUACAUCACCCACUUCGGCAUCUUCGCCAAGUGUUCUCAAGGCAUCUUCGCCUUUGGACGUACGACGUCUUCGCCUACUUCCCACGAGUAUGCCUACAACGACUUCAUCAAGUCCAAGGCGACCACCUACGAGCGAGGGCUACACUUCCAUCUUUGGAAGCCCCCCAAGGAAGAUGGCCGAGCAUGGGACACUCCCUUCGGUCAUGGAGACGAGCUACGAGGUGCCACAUCAUAUGGGCCUCCAACAACAAGACGGUGACAAGAAGGUUGAGCAUGGGACUAUCCCUUCAACCAAGGCGGCGAUAGGAGUUGAGCAUGGAGACAUUUGCACCUACAUCUCUCCGACACCCACAUAUGUCGAGAUGCCCCAAGUGCCAUGUGAGGAGAGCCACCACCACAUGAGAGAGAUGAGUGACUCCACCAUACGUGACACUGAGAGCAUUUCCUAUGAGAGGAUGAGUGUGACCACCACUAGCCCCACACAUGAGAGCAUGCCACACAUCCUAUGUGAGGUUGAGCGCCAUUUGAGUGACUCCACCAAUCAUUUGAGUGAGAUCAUCCUUGAGGGAGUGGGUGAGCCACAACACAUAGUGAGUGAGGUAGUUGACACGGCAUGUGAGGCCACCAUGAAUUCUAACGACUUAACCUCUACUCCUAGUGUGUUUUCUUCUUUGGUGCUAGGUCUCCUACAUGAUGAUAUGCCUAUCCUCGACGAGUCCAUACCUCCAAUGGAGAUGACGAUGGCCAUGGUGGAUGAUGAUGCACCCCCCGCAUGGUUCCAUCAAGAUGAAGAUGACAACGAGACGAUCUUCAACACCUCACCUACAACUCAUGAGCGACCUUCCAAAGGUAACAUAGGUGAUGGUGCUUCUCUUGUCCCACUAAUGGACUCUCUUACCAUCGAUUGCUCCCAUGAUGUUGACCCACCUAUUCCCAUGCUUCAUGCUAGUGAGACUUCUUCAUGCCUUGACUUACCUAUUUAUGAUGAAUAUCAUGAUGAGCAUGUUGAGUUGCCUAGUUGUGAUGUCAUGCUCCAUAGGAUAUCUUGUGAAAAUUCUAUUGGUCACUUCAUGUUUGACAAUCCAUUGAACUUGUCAUAUGCUAUGAGUGAGAUCUCCCAUAUUGCAUCAUUUCAAUCUCAACAUAGUAACUAUGCAUGCCCCAUUGAAAUAAAUCCCAUUUGCACUUAUGGCAUAGAUGACGAAAUGAUGGUCAUUGGCUUUUGCUUCUCUUGUGAUGAUAUUGCCAUGCUUCCUUUACAUGAUUUGCGCAAUUCAUCUACUAUUACAUGCCAUGAUCACAUUGUUCCAAAUAUGCAUUGUUUUGGAUGUUGUCAAUAUUCUCCACGUGAUGUUUCUACUCUUGCUCAUGAGGAGACCCCCAUAGUUUCCUCAUACAUAUUAGGAGAUCUUGAUGCAUUUCAUACUUCUGCAUGAUUCCCAUGAUAGUGUACACCAUAUGCAUUCCAUGAAUAACAAUUCUCUAGAUAUUUCUCAUGAUGCAUUACAUCCUUUGAGUCUCCAUUAUGCCAUGCAUAACAACAAACCUAUCAUGAUGGAUGACAUGUUUCUAUAUCACACAUCUCAUUUAUUCGAGCAUUGGAUAUUUUGUGCUAACCGAUACAUGCAUGUGCGCAUCAUGAUGGAUGAUGUGUACAUCUACCCCGCACACACAAUUUUCCCUUUGUCUUUGUUUUGUGUAGGUACUCACAUAUACUCGUCAACUUCUCAAUCCCAUGAGUUGACGAAACGAGCUCUUGAGAGCAACGAUGACUUGGGAUCCCGUGGACUAUCAUUCCCACCAUUCCUUUUGCGCAAAGACUACGCACAUCUCUUUUACUUGUCUCUCACACGGCUAUGGGCUAUUUACCACUUGUCACAUUAUGCCCAUUCUAUCGUGUUCACUUUGCAUGUUAUGCAUCUUUACAUGACUUUGCCAUGCAAUUGUGACCCUUGCUUGCAUUUACCCAUGAUGCACCAUUAUGAUACUCCUAUGUGUAUUUGCAUGCUUGGUGGAGAUCCUUGUUGCUAUUGCCAUGUUUAUCAUGUGCCCCAUUCUAUUGAUGCUAUUUUGCUCAUAUCUUGCCUUUAUGCUUGUGAAAUGUAAUGUGCAUUUUGUAUGCCCACUAUUUGCACACAUGACAUGCUUGCCAUGAUUCCUUCUAGUACAUUGCAUCUUCGCACUACUAGCUUGCUUGACUUGAUCUCUAUGAUUGCUUGCUAUGUUGCAUCACCCAUGUUCCACUAUCACUUGCUUUCUUGGGUUGAUGACAUAUAUGUUCAUGCCUCUCACAUGAUAUAUCUUGUUUAUUGUCGCUUGCCUCCUAUAGUUGCCUCUAUGCUUAAUGAUAUUGGAGACUUGGACACUUCACUUGUGAUGCAUGCUUGUUUGAUUGAGCCUAUUGCAUUUGGUUGUUAUCGCAUCAUAUGCCUCCAUACUAAGAAAUGCUCCCUUGCCCUUUCUCAUGAUGAGCAUGAUGCAUACACUUGUUGGGUAUCUUACCACACGAAUGAUAGGUUUUGCACUUCCGCUAACCUCAUUUGUUUUUCCGAGUGUUUGCCAUGUUCUUUCAUUUUGAAGGAUUCACAAGGCGGUAACAUCACGAGACAACUUGGUUAUGUGAAGGCAUACAAGAUGCACAACUCCAUCAUUCUUGAGAACCUCCUAAAGGUGACCUCCUUCCCUUUGAGCCAUCUUUAAAUAUGCAUAUUGGAUGGGCCAUACUUUCGUUGUUGUUUCCUUCUUGUUGUCUACAUGAUACAUCUAUUGGAUGGAGGACCGACAUUGGAGAUGGACCCUAUGGACUUUCAAGUUGAGGAGUGCCACGACAUCGAGCUAUGGUACAACACCACCCAUGAAAAAUUUACACCAUAUGCAUGGCUUGACACACAUUAUGAUUGUCUUGUUGCACCUAUUCCCAUGUCAUCCAUGAUAUAUGAGCUUGUGCAUUUUCUUAGCAAAUUUGUUGUGAUCUUUCUUGAUGGCAUAUUCAUACAUCGUGAUCAUAUUGCCUACCAUCAAUUGCAUGAUAACAUACACAUGUUGAGCAUCCAUUGCCAUAUUCAUGCUAUUGAUAAACUGUCUCACUAUGACAUCACUUUGCACCGUGGUUGCAUUGAUCAUAUUUACAACACAUUUGUGUGCACAAUGAAUGCUUUUGCUCCCAUGAAUGCUUUACAUCUCAUUCCAUAUCAUCUUGCUAAGCUUCAUGUGCUUUGUCAUGAACAAUCUUGCCUCACGGACUCAUUCUUACAUGAUGGACACUUUGUGUGUGCUAACCAUUAUAUUUCCGAGUGUUGCUUGUGUUUGGUCUUUUUGCAUGUCUAUCACUCCGGAGACACCUUGGAGUACUUGGAUUGCACCAUGACUUCCACUACAUCCAACUACAAGUUCGUCCACGACAACCGUUUCCAUGGUGAUGAGCUUUUUGAUCCGAGGUCGGAUCCUUCCCAAGGGAGGGGAGAUGAUGCAGAG
This 62649-nucleotide long non-coding RNA is filed under the name Triticum aestivum (bread wheat). RNAcentral describes it as "long non-coding RNA (TAES_LNC003265)". The record is from RNAcentral. Lineage: Eukaryota; Viridiplantae; Streptophyta; Magnoliopsida; Poales; Poaceae.